UGGAGGUGGAGGUGGAGGUGAGGGUGGCUCCAUUUUGAGACAAAAGGGAGGCGUUGUUUUUUAGAAAGAGAGAGAAGUGGCGUUUGGAGAGAGGAUACGAUUGAGUGCUGCAUUUUGGCAUUUAUAGGUCCUAGUAAUAUAUAAAUCUGUUUUUUCGGUUUUGCCAUUUUUUGUUUUUGUUUUUAUUUUUGUUUUUGCUUUCUUUCCUUUUUUUUUUUUUUUUUUCUUUUUUCUGUUUUAGGUUUCAUAUGAUAUGAUGGACAUAAUAUAUUGUCUUAAAGUGGAUGGAUCAUUAUUAUAUUUGCAGAUGGAUUUACCAUUUUGUACAUUUCAAAGUAAGGUUUACCCUCUCCAUUAGCUAGGCUAAUUUGGGAUUAUUAAUUUUAUUAAAUGGGCAUGCAUUGGUUAACAUCCUACCCGGCGAGCUUUCUGUUCUUUUUCUUUUUUUGGGUUUUAUUAUUUGUGUUUGUACAGUUUUGUUAAUCUACAAUUACCAACCAAAAGAAGAAGAUGAGAAUUGAUUCUAAUUCUUUAAUUACAAAUAGUGCUACACAUCUUACAAUUGUGUAAUUUAACACUCAAUCCAACAUUUUUUGUUUUCAUUUUAGUAUUACAUAUAUCGUGAACUUUAUUACAGAAUAAGUCUUUGCAUAUUUUAUAAUUCUUGAAGCUUGCAUUGGGUACAAUGAUUAGAAACACUCCACAGUUUUCUAAAGAAUUGCAGCUUCAUUCAAAUUUAAUCAAUCAGCAAGUCACUCCAAAGAGUAAAAUCAAAGCAAGUACAUCUUAUAAGUAAACAUGUUUCAGAAGCAAUAAGUACCUAAAUAUUUCUAUUAACCCAUUCUAACACUCGUAUCGAAUAGUAAGAAUAUUUUACUAUAUGUAAUUGAUUUUUAUAAUAAAUAGAUAAAGAAAAAGAGAAGCAUUUUUAUUAAGCCUUUCAUAAAUCAAAAGAGAAAAAGAAUAAACACUUAAAAGAAGCCAACUUGGGUUGGGAUAUUGCGGAUCUAGCUGCCUCUACUAUUAUUAGCAUAACAAUGACAUUUGUUAAGUAGGAUUAAGAACUACUAAUGGUAGCCAUAUGGUCUUAAGUGUAAUGAGUUGUUAGUAAUAAAGUGGGGAUUUAUAUGAUCUUUAACUUUAUGUUAUAAAACAAAAAACAAAAAACAAAAAAAAUGAAUAGAGAAGAAGAAGACACACGUGUAAUUAAGCAGUAAAGAAAGAAAUAAAGAAGGAAAAUGCAUUAUGCAAAAUGCAUAGAGCCAAACAAAAGACAAUAUAAGAAGAAUGGUUCUACGGGUAUCACAUGGGGACUCCCAUAAUCUAAGGAAAAUUUGAAGAAUGCGAUCGUACGUGCAUCUUAGGGAAUGGGGAUGAAGUUAGGCUUUGUUUGUUGGAAUGUUGUCACCCUCUCAUUCUUUUCUCUUUUCCUUUCUUUUUUUUUUUUUUUAACAAAUAUUAUUGUCCUUUUCUUUUCCUUAAUUAUUCUGUCUAACAAUCAUUAUUCAUAUGCAAGAUUACUUCUUUAUUAUUAAUUUGAUUCUUUACCAUUUUUUUAUACUGAAUUAUGCCUGGAUUAUUUAAGCUUCAUGUGGACUGCACUAUGUCAAAUUUAUAUUCCUGACUUCUGUAUAAGCCAACACCAAAUUAUUUGGUUAAUCAAACUGCAGAAAUUUAGGAAACUGUCCUAUUUGUACAGUGUUUACUCUCGAGAAUUAAGGAUUUUAAAUAUAUAAUCAAUUCUUUUGAAGAUAUGUUAGUUUAUUGUUGAUAUUUAUUAAGAUGAAGACAUAGAUAAUGAUAUAAAUGGUUGUUAAAUUUUAUAUUCAGUCUCAUUUUAAUUAUAAAAUUUCAAUUUGCUUCGUUUCAAUCAUCUAAUUUUAAUUUUAUUUUAAUUUAAUCACUUCACAAAUAAGACAUUAACACGUGACAAGAACAACCAAUAAAAAAAAAUGUACUUAAGUAAGAAAAAUCAGUUUUUUAUUAGAAAUAUGACUAAAUUAUAAUUAACACUAAGUUGAAUGAUUGAAAUGAAAUAAAUUAAAAUUUUAUGAUCAACAUAAAACUAAAUGCAAUGUCUAGUGACUACUUAUAUUAUUAUCCCUGAUGAAGCAGGUACAUUCCAACUUCCUAAUAAGAUGAUAUUUAAAAAAAAAAGACAUCAUGAUAUAUAAAAUAAAAUUGAGCAUUCCAUUAUUUCAUUUUGGAAGAUUGAUGAUCAUUAAUCUUUUUUCAUUAUUUUAAUUUUACUGAUCUUGUUUUGAGUGUAAUGUUUAGAUUCUUAAAAAUGACCUAAAUGGAUGUUUUGCGGAGCUAAAGAUAGUUAGUAAUAUAACUUAAAAAAAAAAUUAAAUUAGAGAUACUGCAAUAUAAAAUAAGGAUAGUUUGAAUCCUAAUAGCUAAAAUAUAUGAAAAAUGGUAAAGAUUAUACUCAAGUUCAAAAUGAAUAGUUGGAAAUUGUUUUCGGUAUAGAACACUCAUGUCGAAAAAAAGAUUUGAACCCUUUUUUUGUUUUGAAAAAUGGGUAUUUCACUCAUUCUUAUCCAAUGGGUAUUUCACUCAUUCUUAUCCAAUGCUGAGCAGAUAACCUAUGCAUUAAAGUAAAUUCUUUGAAUUUGAAGAAAAAAAAAAUAAUUUUACUGACAAUUACUUGUUUGGUCAGAAGAGUCUUCCGAAUAUAAAUAUUCCGGUCUUGGGUUAGUGAUUAGUUUCGAUAUUUUUCGAUAUUUUGAUUUUGAAAUAUGUAUUAUGAUAUGAAUAGAGAAUAGAGGAUAGGCUCAUUUCAGUCAAAAAAGCUAUGGGAAUUUCCCCAUACCAUAAGUAAGUAAAAAUAAGAUGAUGUGCUGAGAUUCAGCAAAGUAGAAAACAUCAUUAGAAAGCAAGGCUCUUUGGUAUUUCUUUUUGUUUUGAAACAUAAGCUAUUUCCCAACCUAAUUUGCUUUGGCAACAACUAAAUUUACAUAUUAGUAUUGAAUAGACUAAAAUUGAUUUGAAAACAAAAUAGUAACAACAACAAACAUUUUGAUUUGAAGAUCUACAAUACCAUUAUUAUACAAGAAGUGGAAGAAGCUGUUACUAACAGAGUAUUUUAAAGAGGGAUUAGUUUCAAAAUCGUAUUAGUUACAUUAUCAAGUCCCCAUUAAAUAAAUAUCAAAUGGUGAUUUGGGUUCAAUAAGUUAGGUAAUGCUUGUGGAUCAAACCUUAAGAACAUCACCUACCAUAAGCUAAAGCUGAUAUUGUAAUCAACCGGGUUGCUUGCUUCCAUAUCUUGUUACUAUUAUAUGAUUGCAUUUUAUUUUUCUUCUUUUGGUGAUCCAAUUUUUCUGAAAUACAAGCGGAUUAGAUGUUCUCUAGUUUUAUAAAGAUUUCGUAUGAGUAGUUUUUAAUUGGUAAUGAAAAUUCUAUUCGGCGGCUAUAGAAGGAAGGCAAUUCCACCAUUAUGACAUGCUGCUUAAAUAUGGACUUACAGUAAUUUGAUGGCAAUACAUCACAAAAGUCCUUUUUACCGGAGAGAAAAUUGAGUCUUACAAAAUCCUUGUUCUCUGCAUAUGCUAUUGCCUUAACCGACAGAGUUACCAGCGGAGCUAAAGUUCUGCUUUUGUUUAUAUAACCAAAAUAAAAUAUCAUACAGAAUAUGAAUGGCGCAAGCCUGAGAUGCAAAACCACAAGCUUCACCAACAAACAUUUUCUCCAUUUUAAUUCAUCUCUGUCUCUCUUCUACCAAUGCAAUGCUAAUUCAUUUCAAAUUCUCAAACAAUUCACAUCACAUUAAAUAAGAUACUCAGAAAGCAGAACUUAAUAUUCUUCUUCUUCUAGUAAAUUGAGAUAUACAUGAUGAACUAUAUAUAUAAAAACAAUUUCUUUUAUGCGAUUUACUGUAUAUUUUGUUAACGCUGCACCAACGUUGCCCUAUUCCAAUGAAACUGAAUUUGUCUGGUGGAUCCUUUUCACGUUAAUUUUUGGCAUAUGUGCAUGUGCAUGUACAGGCAUACCAUAUAUAUAUAUAUGUGUGUGUGUGUGAAAAAUAGUUCUUUUCAUGGCGUAAAUUUAAUUUCGCUAAAAAGAAAAAAAAAUUAAAAUAUUUGGGUCCCUUGAUCAACAUGUAGAUAUAACUAACAAUUUUUUCUUAAAAAAAUAUUACUAUUAUUGCGGUUGUGGUGUUUAAUAAGGUCCGACAUUGGAGCUGUAUGGUGAGAUUUAUAUGUGUAUGAGAGAAGGACAUGAGAUAGUGAGAGUGCCAUAUCAUAUGCUGUUUUAAUGUUGAUUGUUACAACACACGAGCAUGGUUUUAAAGUUAUGGUCCUACAUUUUCUCCAUUGCCAUUGUCAAGUGCUUAAAUGACAGUGUGUAUGUAUAUAUAUAUAUAGAUAUGUAUUAUCAAUAAUUAUAUACAUCUCAAUGAACCCAUAUGCUACUAUUAAAUGCUUAAAUCAUAAUGGCCAUUCCAUCAGAUUUUUGGCAUCACAUGUAACUAGAUUUUGCACAUUAAGGGGAAAAAAGAAAAGAAAAACUGUAACUAAACUGAAAUGAAAAAACUCAACCCUAAUAAAUUAAACAAGCUCAAGAAGCAGUAAAAUCUAUAUGCAUUGGUUAAAGAAGAGAAUUUCUUGAAAUCACACACAACUUUUGUAAUCAGUGACACCUGAAAACCAAAAGAAAAACAAGAACAGGGAGAGGAAUCAUGCAUAUAAAGUCAGAUAAAGAAGAAAAAUAAAGAAAUAAAAAGGGAGUGAGAGUUUUGUCUUUUUUCUUAAGCUUUAAUUGUCAAAGCAUGCCUAGUUCUUUUUUUGGUUUUGUUUUGUUUUGGCACAGGGUUUUUGUAUUUGUCUUGGAUUCAUAAUUUGAUAUCAGGAAGAGGAUCCAAAAUAGGCAACUGAAAAGAAAUUAUAUAUCACACCAUUUCAUGAGUGGCUGCUUCACGUGUAUACCACAUCACCUCAUCUCGCCUCUCUCAUUAUCAAUUUUCUUUUGAUUAUAUCACAAAUCAUUAUCUCUUCAUACAUAUAUUCUUUUAUCAGCUCUUGGAUUCCUAUUGUUUUGUUAACAUUAAAUAAGACUUCUAUUCUUUAUGUAAUAAUAUUAAUAAUCGGAUUAUGUGUCUCUAAACGGAUUUUGAAGUUGGAAAAUUUAUGGCAGAAAAGUCUCAACUUCAACCUUGCUAAGAGAUAAUUCUUGUUGGUAUGGUCUCCCACUUGAAUUCUGAAAUAAUCUUUAAUGAACUAAACACCAAUAGUAAAAAAACUGCUCAUUUCUACCUUAUUUUUUUCCAUAAGCCAAACUACUACUAAGUGUUAGUUUCAACCCAUUAAACCUCUAUCACUGUCGAAAAAAGAAAAAAGAAAUAUUAAAGGUCAAGUAAAAUCUCAUUGAUUUGGUGAGAUGGCCGGCUCACAUUUAUGUUAUAUAGUUUUCUUAGCCUAAAAGUCCUUCUAGUAAUCAAUACUCGAAGACCCAUAUAUCCCAACUUUAGGUUACACACAAUAUCUUUUACACUGUUUUCUUUUUAAGGCUAUGUUUUGGUUCCUGUUAAGAACAUAAUAACCCCACCGAGGGUUUUUUCUAUUUCUUUUUUUUUUUCGUUUUUACUUUUUAUUUUAGACUUUUGAAGUUUCAUAAAAUGUGUUCCUGUCUGCCAUCAUUUGGUGGGAGAAAAUUUGAGCUUCCACCUAAGCACAAAGUUGAAGGAAAGUUAAAAAAGAAAAACUACUAAUUAUAUUCCUCCACCCAUGUCAAAGUUAGGAACAUAUGUACUUUAAAGAAAAAGGCUCAUACACUUUGAUGAUGCCCUUGUCGGCCAUGAUUUCCCCAUCAGAAAGAAUUGAUUUUUUGUUUUAUUAUUUAAAUAUGUUAUUGGGUUCAUUUAAAGCCAACACAACUAAUUAUAAAAAUUUAUUAAGACUUAAUAGGAUGCUUUUCGUUUAUUAGUUUAUCUCAUAGUUUAGUAUUUGGUUCAAUGCUUGUUCACUAAUAUAUUAUAAACUUUAUAGAUGAUAAAAAAUCUAUAAACUAUAUGAUCAUUUUCUUUUUAAUUGAAAGACAUGGUUGUUUGUUAUGGCUAUAUUGUUGAUAGCAAAUUCAUUGUAACUACUAUAUAUGUUUUAUAUAAAAAAUUAUUUUCAGGUCUUUAGAGUUUUAGUUUUUUGGCCUUAUUCUUUAGGCUAUAAAUGCAAUUUAUUAAUUCUCAAACUAUUAUUUUUGUUAACAUUAAAGACCCUUUUACCUAAUACAAAUGAUGCACCAUGAUUGGAAGUCUACUUUGUGAGGGAGUUGAAAAAAAUUUGUUUGAAGUUUUUAUUGAAAAUAGAAAGAGAACAUUUUAAUAUACAUCAUAUACUCCAUAAAUAGGUAAAAAGAUCAUUGAUUAUCAAUUUAUCUUAAUAAAUCAAAUAUCAUGAUUUAUUUUACCAAAAAAAUAUUAAAAUACUAAAUUAUGGCUUAUAAUGAGUUUAACAACCAAUAAAUUAGUACACAAUUAGCGUAGCUUAAUUGACAUAUUCACAAAUAAUUAUAGUUGGGUUCACGAGUUAAAUACUCAUACCAUUAAACUUCCAUAACAAACAAAACUAGUAAUAGAUGUGGUACACUUUCGCUAUUGAUUCAAAUCGAGAGGAAUUAUAUAAAGUAUAUUAUAAUUAAGCAAAUCAAGUAACCUCUAAUUUCAAAGUACAAAAAGGAAGCAAUUUGAUCAAGCCACGACAAUGAUAAUAUUCAAGUGUACUGUGUCUGUGUAUAUAUAUGAUUAGUGCUAUUAGUUGAGUGAUUAGGCACUUCGAAAGCAGGAUAAGUGGUGGAAUCCAAAAGGAAGCAAAUACAUUAAUGGCUGCUUUUGAACGCACAAACAGAAGCAAGACUAAUUAAGCUGUAAGCAAGUCCAUUGAGAAGGAAUUGAAAGCAUGCAUAUCAACUCAAUAACCCCAUCAUGAGGUAUACCUCAAGUUAUUAUUAUUGUAUAAUAAGUUAUUUGGAUUAUAUGGAGUCUCCUUCAAUAUUUGUUGAAGUGGACACCAAGCAUUUAACAUUACUUUCAUUUUGCUCAAAAAUGGAUGCUCCAUAUAUAUUUGUGUGUUUGUGUAAAUAUGUAAUUGCCACAGGGACCCACAAAAAGACCAUCUAUACGUUGCUUGAUUAGUAAUUUCUUAAGAAGGGAUCCAUUACUGGGUGUGACAUGUACAUUUACAUGUUAUGAAAUUCACCAAUAUGAGUGUCCUAAGCUAUGAAAUUUAACAACUCAUAUAUGAUCAAUGAUUUUGCGUUAGCCUGUUUUACAGCCCUUUGAUUAUGGUUCUAAAUUUGUGGGUCCAUAUAUAUAUAUACAUAGACUUGAUUGUUCAUAUAUCAGAUGUAGAUUUUAGAUGUUCACAAAUUUCUUUUCUUUUUUGGGCACUUUUCAUGAGUGAACUUUGUUCAGCGCCGUGGGCAUAACUGUAACUGUUGGGUUGGGUGAUGGCUGUUUCCACUAAACCCUCUGCAAUUUUUCAUAAUGGAAGACAGCAUUACUUUGUACCUGGGUUAUUCCACAACCUCACGUUGAGAGUUUUGCUUUUCCUUUUUGUUUCCUUACAUCCCCUUUUAAUACUAUUUAUCUUUUCUUCUUUUUUCUGGUGUUUUUCAUAAUUAAGAUGAUUGUCUGUGGACAUUGAUGGCAUGAAGGAAUUCAAGUGUAUUAUCAUUGCAAACGAUUACACAGAUUGCCAAUUGUUAUAUAAGAAUAAUAACUUCAUAUUUAGAUAUGUAUAGAUAUUGUUAUGAUGAUGAUGACGAUGAUGAUGAUACCAAAUUGUGCAAAAUUUUGCUUGUAUUCAUCAUAUUAUUAGCUGUUGGUUAGACUGUUUGAGUGUUUCUUUUAAUUUUGUUAACAAGGAAUGAUUUCCCAUAACUGUCCAUAUUAUAGAGGCAAUAGUUGAGCCCAAUUUAAUCCCUAUUGCAAUAACACUACGGGUCUUUUUUAGCCCAUGACCAAUUAAUAAUGCAGAUACACAAACAAUACUUUUAGCCCAUCAAAACCCAUUUGAGCCAGCAUCCCAUUCCAUAUUUCUAUUUUCUCUGUGCCUCCUUAGUAGUAGACCAGUUCAACAGGCGGAUAGGCCUAAGGGUUUUGUUUUUUGUCUUUCCUUGUCUGUGGUCAAUAUCAGGUUUUGAUUUGUGUUUCAUGACUUAGCCUGACUCAUUCGGAUGAAUCAAACAAGUCUACAUCAUAUGCCAAUGAAACACAUAAAGAUUACAAGAAGAUUGAGCAAAAAGAAAAAAGAAAAAGUACGCAGGGCUACUUUCUUUACAAAUAAUUUACUUUUUCGGACGUGUGCUUUGAUUUGGAUCAUUAUAUAAAAACUCAGUUGCCAUGUUUGUUUUUUUUUUUCUAAAAAAAAAAAAAAAGAUAUAACUGAUAAUUAGGAAAAGGAAAAAUUAUUGGAGGCCAUUGUUUGUGUACAAAUGAAAGGUCACUUGAAUCAAAAGGUUUCACGCUGAGAUCCGAACGUUGAGGGGUGAGAUAGAGAUAUAUAGGCAGAUAUCUUAUUGAAUCAAUCAAAGUAGAAAGUCAAAUUUUACUGAUAUCUCUCCAAUCUAUGAUCGAUCUUUCUAUCAAUAAAGAAAGGGUUAAAAGUAAUAUUUUGAUUAUCCAAUCGCAUAAAACAAGAUAAUGCUGUGCACAUGCCUUAUUCCAAGUUUAUUGAUUAACCCCUUCAGUUAAUAUUUUAACAUUAAGAUUGUUCAUCUUUUAUUCUUUUUAAUCUUCUAUUCCCUAUUGCCAUUGCAAACUUUCCAUUCCACUGCUUUCAUUGUCGAUUGUCGAGGUAUGGCCAGUGGCUGUGAAUGUUGAAAUAUUCUGUUUUUAUCUUUUAUUAUUAUUUUUAUGAGGAGAAAAUUGUCACCAUGGGUGAACUUUAAACUUUAAUAUUCGAGUAGUAUCCUUGGCAGGCUAUUAUUAUUAUUAUUAUUAUUAUUAUUUAAAGAUGGAAGCAGACCCUUACUUAGAUUUAACAAGAAAAAGAUAGACCAUGUACAAGGAAUACAUUCUUCAAUCUAGGAUAGAGAUUUGACUAUUACACAUAAUUAAAAUUGAUUGAUAUAAUUACUAAUUUGUUUUAUAAAUUCUUUUGAAUUCAAUUUGAGAUACUUGAAAGAAUUAUUAUUUUUUUAUUCAUAGAAUGGGCUGUAGGCUUUUGUGGGAUUUGAACUCAAAACCUCAACUUUCUAAAAGUAAUUGCUCUUGCCACUUGAGGUAAGCUUCAAAUGUAGUUGAAAAAAUUUUAUUAGUUACAUUUAAAAGAAUGAUAAGUUAUAAUGAUUCAAAUCCAAAUAUCAAAAUUAUCAUUCCUGAUCACUUGACUCAUAAAGGUAACUAAAUCUCCAAGAAAAUACUUAUCGCACAUGGGUUAUCAUAUUAUGUAUUGUCUUCAUUUUUGGCUGGACAAAUGAGAAACAUAAUUCUAUAGAGUAAUGGGGACACUAAAAUGCAACACCGAAAUUCUACUAUACAUUAAUCCUGAUUUUGUUCAUUGGUGUGGUUCUCCCAAUAUUAGUCCAAGACCGCUAGUAAAAAUCCUCUCCUUUCCUUCAAAAUUUUAAUUGAGAAAUCAGCCCAAUAUUUCUGUGACCAAUAACUUUUUAUUGACACCUAACAUUCCCAUCACUCAAUGCAAUGUAAACUGAUCUAGCCCAAUCAUUAUCUCUUUUUUCAAUUUUUUUUUUUAAGAUAGAGAGUUCAAGAAUUCGUUGUCAAGAUGUUGAUCGAUAACAAUUUCUUGGAGAAGUUUAAAUAUUUUGCUAGAUAUUUUAACUUGUUAUCAAUAUUCAUGCACCCAAAUCUGGUUCUGGAUCAAAAUAAGAAUGUCUAGAUUUACAUAAAUUUAUAAAUUGCGUGCUGUUAAGUGGUAGCUGCCUUGGCUACUGAAAAGAGUUAUAACUUUUAUGAAGCGUAAAUAAUGCUGACAAUAACACAUUUUUAUAGGAUUUGCAAAGAGCAUGGAUAUUUGGAAGAAGAUGAGCAAUUCUUAGAGGUUUAGGAGCUACCACCAAGCUAGAUUUAAGUCACAUUUUUUCACUUGUAUUUAUAAUAUGCUGCCGUAAAUUUUUCAAGUAAUGAUAGAUGUAAUGUUUCAUUACAUGAAUAAUUUUAUAAAUAAUUGAAUAAUUAAUUAUUUUUUAUAUACUUUUCACGCCCUCCUGCUUAAUGUUUAAUUAAUUAUUGCAACUCUCUUCAUAUAAUAUGAUGCAUUAUAUUAAUCAUUCAAUAGAUUUGGAUUACAUUUUUCAGUUUUUUUCUUGUCAUUUAUAUUAUAUUUUUGCGAAAGGCUUGAUUAGUAUGGAAGACUGCUUGAGGGAUAGUCUUUCCUCUUUCUUAAUUUCCGUUCUUUGUUUGUCAGACAGAAACAUUAUCAUUAACUUUCAUUUUUCUUGUCACUAAAUGCAUAUAUAUUUUUUGUUUAGAAAAUGUAAGCAAGGAAGGUGCAGAGAUCGGUUUUGAACUUCCCUCAUUUCUUUCCAGCAUGUUUACUACCCAUUCACCAUGCGCGUCAACAAUUGUAGUGUUAGGCACUACUAAUUUAAUAAAUUUCCAUUUCCAGUUUGUAUUUUUUAUUUUUUACUGAAGUUGGGCUGGCAUCUAUUAUGUUCCAAAACAACCCUAAUGCUAAUCUAACUAGUAUUUAACUCUCUUUCUAAAAAAAAAUAAUUAUUUUACCCUAACCCUUUUCCAAAAAAAAAACUCUAACCCUAACCCUAACCCUAAUAGGGUUUGUGUGUUGUGUGAAGAAAACAAGGGUUCCGUUCCUCCAAAUACAAUGCCUUUCUAAAUGCUUCUUUUCGAGGCGACACGAGCACUUUCCCGGCGUUUCCUCCCACCUCUUGGAAAUUCUCAAAACUUUCCUCUGGAUUCUCGUGACCUCAUUUGCCCCAAAUUAACCCCAUUCACCCCUUAUAUUUACUUGACAAUUCCCUCCACUUCCUUGUCAGUCUUUCUUUUUUGAGAGGACUUCCUUCACAUAUGUAUUUAAACAUGAUUCAAGGAUACAUGGUUCUUUGCACACUAAUUUAAACAUUGAUUUUAUCACAGCCAUCCAACAUUAGGAAUUAUAUGUACAUCAAUUCCCAUUUUAUUUUUAAACAAAUGUUGAAUCCCCAUAUAAGAAUUUCAUUCCACGACUAUUUGCAUGUAAUUUAUGAAACAACAUGUCAGAUUCAAUAAAAACCAUAUUGUCAUUAAGAGAAUCUAUUAGUAAUGUUUACUUUCCACUUACUUCACCUAACAGAGUAUAUCCAUUCGAGAAAAUAGUAUCAAACUAUUGGUGAACUAAAAAAAGGUGAUAUUAAUGAGCAUGAACACAAGGACAAUAUCGGAAGAAAAAGAAAAGGGCACCGGGAUCAUGGUGAUAGAAUGGUCAAAGUUGCUCCUAAAUUAUGUUUUUUUGUGCAAGCAUGCAAACCGGAUAAUCGGUCCGACUGGCUACAACUUUCAAACCGUAGGCCAAAAACAACUGACACGUGUCAGUCACAUUCCUCUGCAUUUGGCCGCAAUAUCUGAAACGACAUGAGCUUUCGAUUUAAUGAUUUUACCGCAAAUGGCCGGUGGCUAAUCCAACCCCUCAUACUUCUCUCUGCUCCAUUUUCAAGAAGAGAAACAAACAUUGCUUGGUUUACAGACUCUGCUAGUAAGUAACUUAAUGGUUCUUUCAGGCCUGCUAUGCUUGUUAGACCCCUUUUCUUUUUCUUUCUCUUUUUCUCUUUUACUUUGCCUUGUUGUCAUUUCUUGAUAUUCCUGUAUUAUUUACAACGUCAACAUUUUUUUCUAGUGCCUUUAUAUAUUCGGGAAAAUAGAAUUUUCUUUAUUUUGUUUUUUUGUUUACGAUAUUCCCUUUGAGAAGUGAGUGGAAUUUGAGUUUAUAGGAUUGCGUAUGUUCUUGGAGUGAAAAUUAAAUUGAAGAGAGAAGAGGAUAGAAGCGAGAGACGUGGGUUCUGUCCCCCUUAUUGUGGUGCACUUUAAUCAAUUCAGUCUUAUAUAUACAUGUUCAAGAAUUUUGGGGGAAGUGUGUCAUCUUGGCAGUUGAUUUUACUUUAUUUAAUCUUUUGUUUUGAUUGUUAACAAAUUUGUUUUGUUUAUUGGUUAUAUCUGGGUUUAGAUUCUUAGCAUUUCUUUAGUUUUAGAAGGUAGUCUGAACCCCGGAAACUCUGAAUACUUCAGUUUCGAAAUCAAUACCCCGACCCCCUUUUAUAUAUAUUUUUGAACCUUCAAAAAUUAUAUUCUUGUCAGGUUUGGCUCUCUUUCCAUUUCUUUCAGUCUGAUUGUCAUUGAUAAAAAAUUUCAACCCUAACACCUUAAAAUGUUCUGAUAUACUAUGAAAAAUGUAUAUGUCUCUGCUCAUUUAAGCAUGCAUGCCUAUUAAUAUAUAUUGAUGAAAUCACAUUUGCAUACAUGCUCACCACAUGGAGACAAUCACUAUGCUACACAUGCAGCACACUAAGGAUAGGCACAAAUAUUUUAGGCUGCUGACCAAGAGAAGUAUAGUUUACCUCAAUUAGGAGUUUAAGCUAUGUGAUAGUUUUUUUAUUGAUUGCACUGACAAGAUGGAGUAAAUAUAAAGGGAAGCUGAGAUUUUUUUGCAAUAUUUAAACAUGACCUGAGUACAUAAAUAACAAAAGGGAGGUUAAUAUAAUAGACAUUGCAAGCGUAUUGUGUUGUGCAUAAGGACAGAAGUAAGAAGUUAUUUUAAUGUUCAGUUUAUAACUUUUGACGGGGAACGAAGAUCGAUUAGGUGGUCAACAGAUUUCUACUUGGGGAACCGAACGAAAUCCUUCAAAAUAAAAUUUCUUAAUUCUACUGGGCAAGUUUUGGUCGUAUUUUGAAUGUAAGAGCAGUGCUUACUCCUUACUGGUACUUUUAAUGUUUAAUAUGUCGGAUAUUUACAUAAAAUAUUGCAUGUCCGUACACAUGCAUCUUUAACACAUGCAGAGACUCGGGGAUCUACAAAUUUGGUUUUGAUGACUAAUGAAUAUAACCCAUUUGAGUUGAGGGAGAGAUGGAAAAUCUUCUGUGGUUUAUGGGUUGAUCAUUUUCUUUUUCUUUUCUAAAUAUAAAAUGUCUAUUUAUAUAUAGUUUCUUGAAGAUGAGAGAGAGAGGUCGGUAACUUUACGUAGAAUGGUGGGAUUUUUAGAGUAAGAGAUGAUUUGCAGAGUGUGGGAAUGCUGGGCUUUGGGGAGUCAUAUAUUGCACUCAACGAGGACGAGAGUUCCGAUAACCCAAGUGGGGAUAGAGAGAGAAAGAGAGAAUUCAAGGGUAGUAUAUUAUUUGGAUUUUUCCAGUUGGAAUUGUGGGUUUGUCUCAAUACAUAGACUGAAAUGAUUUGAAUUUAAUUACAUAUAGUUUAAUUUAAAUGACACUCGUGUCCUUAGUUGCUUAUUAUUUUCCAUUAGAUUAUAGGUACAUAAUUUAAUAAUCUACUAUUGUUAUUAUAGUAUGAUUAUGAUUUAGUAUUCAUGUGUUGGAAAAUGGUUCUGAUGGUCUGACCGCUUAAAAUGACCAUUGCCAAAGGGGUGAGAAAAGGAACAUUUUGGUUGAUUUGGUUCUGAUGGUCUGACCGCUUAAAGAAGGGCUCUCUCUCUUCCAGUUUUUCUUUUUUAAACUACUUAAUGCCUUUCUCCAUAUUCUUUCUUUUCAUUCUCUUCUGCUUCUCUUCCUCCUUUCUCAUGUUUCCUAACAGUCUUCAAAAAUCUUAGAGACAGAGAGGUAUAGAGGAGGAGAUAGAAUACGACAGCAUCCUUAGCUCGUCACUGGUGCAAACCUAAAGGUUGCUGUAAAUUCUUUAUAUAUACUUUACCUUCUUCAAUUUUUUGAUUACUUUUUUCUUUCAGCUCAUGAAAUUUAUUUUGAAUGUAUUGUUUUGUUACAUGCAGGAGAUUUUUGAUCUAUUAAAGUACAAAAUACUGUAUCCCUUAGAAUCAUUCUUAAAGACUUACAAAUGGGCUCCAUGAAUUCAAACAAUUGGCUUUCUUUUCCUCUUUCUCCUACUCAUCCUUCUUUGCCUACCCAUUUACAUACUUCUCACCCUCAACAGUUUUCGCUAGGGUUAGUCACUGAAACUAUGGACAACCCCUUUCAAGCCCAAGGUAUCAAUAUAUUUCUCUGUGUUUUUUCUCACUAAUUUUUAUUUUUCUUUCCUUCUUUUCUUUCAUCUCUUUACUUAUAUUUUUCCUUCUGUAUUCUCUAACUAUAUAUAUAAAUUUAUAGAAUGGAGCCUUGUUAACAGCCAAGGCAGCAAUGAAGUUCCAAAAGUUGCAGACUUUCUUGGCGUGAGCAAAUCCGAGAAUCAAUCAGAUCUUGUUGCCUUCAAUGACAUUCAGGCUAAUGACUCUGACUAUAUUUUUCAAAGCAAUAGUCUGAUGCCUGUGCAAAACACUGUAGCAUCAGCUUCUAGCAACUAUGAGUUUCAAGAAAAUUCUAAUAAUUUGCAGUCAUUGACAUUGUCGAUGGGUAGUACUAGUGGCAAAAGUUCUACAUGUGAGACCAGUGGCGAUAACAGUAAUCAUACCGUUGAAGCUGCCGCCCCAAGAAGGACACUAGACACAUUUGGGCAAAGGACAUCCAUAUAUCGUGGUGUAACAAGGUGAAGUACUCACUGCAAUAUCGAUAAUAUGUUUUACUUUUUCUCUUUUUCUCUCUGAAUUUAUACUAGCUAGAAAUGUGAUGUAUAUACAAUUAUACGAUUUUGUAAUGGUUGUAAGUUUGCACAUGUAGACAUCGAUGGACGGGACGGUAUGAAGCUCAUCUGUGGGAUAAUAGCUGUAGAAGAGAAGGUCAAUCUAGGAAAGGACGACAAGGUAAAGAAUAUUGACUGGUCUGAUUUAGGAUUUAUAAUUUUCUUAUUGUAUACUAACUUUUCCUUUUCAAUUUCAUGGACAUCAUUGGUUCUUGCUGGCAGUUUAUUUAGGUCAGCAAACUCUAUUCUCAAAACCUUUGAUUAUAAUAUUUUCAUAUUUUUUUUUACUGAAUGUACAUGGAAUUAAUUAAACCUACAUUUUGUUUUUUUUUUUUUUUUUUUUUUUUUAUAUGAUCAGGGGGUUAUAACAAAAAAAAAANNNUGUUCUGCAUUUAUUUUUGUCGAAGUGGCGGGACUUUUGCUAUCACACUUCCCCAUUAUUAUUGAGUACUAACUAAGUUCUUUAUCUAAAUGAAGUUUUAAACAACAUGGUUAGAGCAUACAAGCAAGAGCAUGUUUACAAACACCCAUGGGAGAGGGUAACUUCUGCGUCUUGGCGCAAGUUUACUGACCCUGAGAACAAACGUGUUCUUUCUCAUGUCCUUGAAGUGGACACGUUGAACCGGAAACUUGACCGUGAAGCUGGGAAGCUAUAUACUACUCGUGCUGUUACUGUGCAUGCUCCAGGACCAUGGUUCAUCCGUAAAAUUAUUGGUCAGGAAAUUUGCCACUGUGUUGAAUCGACAGUUGUUGAUGCCCAAACUCGGUCGAUGCAACUUUCCAGCCGCAACAUCAGUCUCCAGAAGUUCAUUGAAGUGGAGGAGAAGAUACGUUACGACCCUCACCCUGAUAAUCCAACUGCUUGGACUCUUUGUCGGCAGGAGACAAGUAUACGGAUAAAGCCGUUGUCUGCAUUGGCAUCAAUGGCAGAGAAGAUAGAACAAAGAUGUGUGGAGAAGUUUUUACAGAAUAGUGCCAAGGGUAGAGAGGUCAUGGAGAGGAUAUGUAAGUAUCUUGAAGCUGAAUCUGGAGGGAUUUCCCUGUAAUUCUUUCUUAUUUCUGUCUUUUCACUUUAACCUAGUGUUAGAUCAUAGUUCGUUGGAGUCUCUUUAAGAGUAGAAAAAGGAAAUAAUCCAUAUGAAAAAAUGAGUAAUGGAAGUGUAUGACACGGGAGGAUUGACCUUCAAAUUUUGAAGUUGCUUUCUUAUUUCAAAUUUAAAUGUCUUUGACUGGGAAGAUAUGCGUUGACGAAUAACCUAUCUUCUGGGUAUUCUUCUAAAAGUUUUGUUUGGGAAGCUGGAGCUGCUAAUUGGAUUGGAGAUAUGAAAAGAAAAGGUGGUAAGAGUCUCAUGAUCACUUUAAUUCGUAUAAUUCCAGGAUACUUUUAGACAUGGUCUUUCUUGUUUCUACCGCCUAAAACUAGAAAUCUUUUUAUAUCUAAAAUAGAAAUUCAAUUAAAAUGCAUGAUGACAUUAUCGAGAGAAAGAGUGAACUGAUAAUGCAUUUGACAAAAACACAAGGAUAAACAAUGCCCAAGAAGAAGGCGUCUCCCACAUGGAUCAAACCAGGAAGAAAAUAAAAAUCAGAAAGAUUGUUAGCAAUAGCAUCGCAAACCAGAUUCAGUAAUACCAGAUUAAUGCCAUGAAAGCCAUAAAUAAAAUUUACAAAGCUACGCACACGAGAGUUCAUGGAUGAUUCCAUAUAUCAUUUAGAAAUUGCACAAGCCACAUUUUGUUGUACUACCAAAGAAACGCCAUAUGAAACAGGACACAUUACAAACCUAACCAAGACAAAGUCCAUCAAACCAGCACAGAUUUAGACUUAAAAACACUGGAGCCAACACAUAAACUCUCGCCAAUCACAAGAUAUAGAGUUCGUAUUGCAGAGAUGUCCUAUGAUGUCUUGCUUUCCCCGUACACAAUAAUACAACAGGACACCUGAUAAGAUACUCGGCCAACCCGGAAGACUCAAAGACGAAAUGAUCAUCAAAUUUCAGCAUCGCAAUUUUACCCCUUCAGAUCUAGAUCUUAUCAAGCUUCUCUGCCCUGACAAUUGGGUUGGCUUUAGCUAUAGCCUCACGAGCAGCAUUCCGAUAAUCAAACUGGCAGUCAUGUUUGUCUGAAUAGCGAUGAGAAGCACAGAAAAGGUUACCACAUCGACAUUUGAACCCUGUUAAACCAACCCGUUUCUUGCAAGCAUUGCACCGGUUUGGACCCUCCUUUGGCUUUGCCUCAACACUCUCCCCCAGCUCUGAAAUAUAAGAUGGCUGCACGGCGAUUGGCUUUGACUCCUCCACAUUUGGUUGAAUAUUAACAGUCCCGGCAGCAAUAAGUUGUUCCAAACUGCUGCUUGAUGAUCCACCCAGAAUACUUCCUGCAGAUGAUGCAGUGAGCUUUGACUGCUCCUGUUUCAUCAGCAUAUCUUUGUGACACUUGGAGCACAUGUUCAUUGUGGCUGCACUUCCGAAGAAGCCACAAUUGUUGAUGCACAAAAUUGGGCGUUCAGGAGGAGCUUGACAUCCUGUUUCAUCAUGGUCCAUCUUCUAUCUCUCCUAACCAAUAUCAGGUAAAAACAAAAGGAUAUAGAUUAUAUUAUAACCAUGAGAUGUGUGUUUAAGUCCACCAUUCAUAUACAAAAGAAAGGUAAAUGCACACAACAAUGUAAUCAGCUAAACUUUUUACAGCUCCUGCCUAACAGAACUUGUGCAUUGAUCAUAUACUUUCAUUACAAUCUAAUAGAAGGUUUAAGGAUAUAGUGAGCUUGUUUGCUUAAAAAUUGUCAUCUGGUGGUGCCGCAGCAAUUGCUUUUCAGUUAAAUAACUGAAAUACAACUAGCAGUUUCAUUUCUUAAGGAUGUGUUCCCUUUGAAAAUCACUUCUACAACAUAGAUUCAUAAGCUUUAGAGGUAAGGUCCCAGGACAGGACAGGACAGAACAAAAAAUCUUCUUUGUGCACACUAGUAUUAAGCAUAUGCUACUAUUAAGUGAUCAUUAUAACAUUAACCAAGUAAAGGAGGACCCAUGUUAUUGGCUUGUUUCUACAAAUUAUAUCCACUAGUGAAAAUGAUAAUAAAUCUGCUUAGUGAACAUCUUUUGGUUAAGAUUCGCAUUGGAGAACGUUACAUUCUUCUAAUUUUCCCCUAACAAAUCAUCUGACAUAAAGAAAAUUCAUCUAUUUUUCAUAUAAUGCAUUGCAAAGUAAUUUAAAUUUUUUAGGAAGAUAAUUUAAAAUGGCUGGCAACGAAUUGCAGACUGGUUCCCAUGACAAAAUAUGGCAAAAACCCACCAGAUAGGGCAUCAAAUGAGUUAAUGGACAAAUCCCACUUAACCACAUCUAUUAAGCAGUUAGCUGUGACUACCUGCUAGUUCAGUUACUACACAAGGACACCAUACAAUAUCACAUUCUGUUCCAGGUGAGAAACUGUGUCGAAACACUUCAGCAAGUCUAAGAAUAUGAUAUCCAGCAUCUGAUGUUUAUAUAGCCGCGUGGACAACCACUGAUAUACAGUAUCGAAUAACACGGUCAACCACAUGCAAUUGACAUAAACAUAACAAUUAUAAAACUGACCCAGAGUUAUUAAAAUCUAUAAACCAACUAUAAUCAUCAGAAACCGAAAAAAUAGAAACCAAUCCAUACACAUAAUAUCUAAUUUUGUCCCAGAACACAAACAGAACCACUGUUGACUUAAAAUGUAACAAAAACUGUAACUUUUUGACAUGGGUCUCCUUAAACUUACAAAAUUAAGCCAAGAGACUUGCAAUUGUUUAUACAAAAAAAGUUCCGAUUAUAAACAGUGAACAAACUCAAACCUUUAUUAGUGAUUGGAAAUGAUUAUUCACUAAAACCGAUGUAAUUUAGCUCAAAACCGCAUCAUAUGUAAGCCCUGUUUUAAUAAAAAUAAAACAAACACAUAAUCAAAAAUAAAAUCAACAACUCCAUAAACAGACAAAUCAAACCAAAAUCAAAAUUCUAGAAAACAAUAAGAAAAAACAAGAGAUCAAAAACCCUAAGCCCGGGACAUACACGUACCAGAUCGCCAAGGAGAGAGAAAACAAAGCCAAACAGAGAGAGAAAUAGAAGCGUUUGGUGACUGCUACGGAGAGAGAGAGUUUUCUUUUUUUUUUUUUUUUUUUUUUAAAAGAUUGCUAACAUUUAUUUUCUCUCUCUAACAUUUCCUUUUUUAUUAUUAAAACUUUAAAAGGCAAAGGUGGUCUGUCUCUGCCAACGAACGAUCUUUUUUAUUGAUGAGAAGAUGACGUGUCUGUUUGUGACUGGAUAAGCGUGUAAGUUCCUGAAUUUCCUGUUCUGUUCUUUUAAUAGGAACUAAAUAACGAUGUUGCCAUUUUCAGAGAGAUGUUAACUUCACAGGCCUGUGGUUAUCCAGGUGUAUCAGUGCUCAUGUCAUGAAGGAUUAGGUGCGAAAGCGAACCCUGAUACUAAAUAGCAGUUUCUUUUUUGCUUUUGUUAAUGGGGAUUCCUUCUCUUCUGUUUUAUGGAUUGGCCCACUUCAUCAAUUUGGGUUUUCCCUUUACGGUCCUCAGCCCUCUCAUCUCGAUUUAUAAGCCCAUUUUGUGUCAAUUAUCAGACAUUCAUUCAAAGUAAAAUGGUCUGGGAGAAGAGAAGCAAAUAAUAAUAUAAAAUUCUAAUAAAUUAUUAUUUUUUUACCUGUUCUUUUACAAAAGUAAUUUCCAAAACUCAAAUAAUAAUAUAAAAUAGGAAUUGAAGUUAAAAAAAAUUAAAACUUUCUGUAAUUCUUUGUUGUCUCUUCUUCUAGUUGUGGACUAUCAAAUCUACAUAUAUAAUAUAUCAUGCACCUAACCUCUUUAAAUUCCCAUUUUAUGAAGUGUUUGCUUUGCUAGUCUCAAUUAAUCAUUUCCAAAGCAUAACAUCAUUAAAAAAAGGAUCAGCCAGAUAAUGAUGGUGAGCAUUUCAAUUUCUCUCCUUCUCCAUUGCAAUCUCAAACUACCCAUUUCUCUUUUACACAAAGAUGCAAUUUUUCUCUAUUUAUACUAAACAACAAAGGGAAAUAUUGUGGUUUUGCUCUAUGUUGAUCCCAACUUGGGCUCACACUUCUGUCUCUUUAUAUCCGUUCAGGCUGAGGUUUAGUUGGGUGGGUGGAUGCUUUUAUAGCUGCCACUACAUGCAUAUACCAUCUAUCUAUAAGUUUUAGUGCUUUGGCCAAGUAUUAUAUUCACUUUACACUAUAUUUCGAAAAAAUAGAAGUAAAGUAAGAUAAAAUUUUAUGAAAAUGGAAGUAAGGUUUUAGGAGGCUAGAUGGAAUUUUUAGUUUUGAAAAGAAUGUACUAUAAAUAAUUUUUUUAAAAGGUGACAUAGUUUUUUGAAAAGAUUAUAACUUCCAAACCUACCAAUUUAGUGGAUUGAGAUUUGAAACAUUUUAGAAGUUUAAAAAAAUCCUCUAAAAAUCUUACGUGUUAAUUAUUACUUCAUUCUUAAAUAAGAAUUGGAGGUCUCAAACUUUACAAAACCUUAAAAGAAACCUCCAUCCGAACUGUCAGUAUCUGGGACAAAAGAUGGUUUCAACUAUAGAUGAUUACAAUCAAAUCUUUAUGAUUUCAUCCGCUUGAUCUGGCCAUCUUAAUUAUGUCAUCCAUCUUCUUCUGAUACCAGGAAUCAGAAGAUGGCAUGUAUCUUUAGUGGGUCUAGCUGUGGAAGUCCAGUUUCCAGAAUUGCUAGGUAUGGCCCACCAACAAUAUAGAUUUAGCAGAUGCUAAAUAAAAAAACCUAAAUCUCCAGUCAUAAAGCUCUGUUCGCACCAAAAUCUAACAUAAACACGUUGUUUAAUGCAAUACUGGGGAACCCUUUAUAGCAGAAGUCGAAGCUAAGAUUGUAGCUAAUGUAGCAGUGAUGAGAAAACAACAGAAGUUCCAUGUUUGCUCGAAUGAAAAAGAUUUAGCAGUUGAAAGGUAAAAGGAUUGAUAAAAUUUUCAGUCAAGGAAGACAAGGACAUACCAACAACUUGGUGGCAAUCAUAUCCUUAGAAUCCCAAACUGCAAGUAAUGUUAGCCUUUCUAUUUUAAAAACUGCAGUUGGCACACCUGUAACUGGAAACUUUUCCUGUUUUCUUUUAUUUUGUCCGUGUCUUUUGCCUCAAAUUUCCUCUCUUCUAUAUGAAUUUAGAAUGCUACUUUCUUGCUUGAUAUAUCUUUCCUUCAAUUUUCUUUCUUUCCACUAUUCACACUUUUCUUGAGCUUUGGUAAUUCUAUGAAGUCUACUUUAGAGAAUUUCUUUCGUCUCUUUUCCUCUGUACAAGUCGAUGUUUAUUAGGGUUGCAUGAUGGAUAAAUUAAUGUAGUGUCGUCAUGAUGCCUGCAUGAGUCCUUUAUAUGAUGUCUGCCGCAGCACGCAGCCACACAGCUUUUACUGUGUCAAAUGUUGUCCCCGGCAAAUAGUUCUUAAUAUGUACAGUGGUUACGAAUCCAAUUUAAUGACGUUAUUAGCCAUUUAAUGUCUAAGUUGAUAUGUAGUGCAUUGCUUGGUUUGGCCUGCAGAUAUGGAUAGCUUUUGCUUUUGUUAACUUUCUUAAGCCUUGAGAUACUCGUGAAGGCUAGGAACAAAGAAACAUAUCCAAGAUGGAUGUCUACUGCUUCUUGUUCUUCAAUGAAAUUUAGUUUGUUAAUAUGUUGUUGAUGAUUCUAUCUAUAGCCACGUACUGAAAGAAGAUCCGUUGGGCUAAACAAACAGAAAAGUUUAAGCAGACAGCACAUCAAGAGGUCAGCCUGUCAAUAUGUGUUUAACUAUGGAACAAAAAAAAGAAUUCUUCUUUAGCUUCUGAAAAUAAUAAAAGACACUAGUAUUAACUCUGUUUGUGUGUAAUGAUUUCUACUAGCACGAGUAGUAUUUUGUAUUCAAAUAUGACAGGUUUCAUUGCUUAUUAUUGCAGAUGAAUUUUUAUUGUUAUCUCCUUCGGAAGCUCUGCAAAUGGCUGACACAACUCUUACUUGCUCUGGACUACCUCCACACAGGGAUCUCAAAGAAAGUAGGUCCAGUUUCUUUUUUCUUUUUUUUACUUUUCUUCUUUCUUCUUUCUUUUUCAAUAAUAUAUUGUACGUUAUAAAUACUGAUCUUAGAUUAAUAAAUAUUUGGACUUUAUUCCUUCCUAAUACAUAUGCAUGGAAUUGGAUAUUAAAAGAAAUAAUUAAUUAUUAUAUAAAAAUAUAUUAUUUCAAUGCCUCUACUACUGUGAUCACUUUGAUCCUGACGCAAAAUUAAAAACUAUCUCCAGUACAAUAAUUAAGUUUGAGCCGGUGAUUUGAAUCGAAUUCAAUCAGACAAUCAGGAUUUUUUUGGAUUGUUUUAAUAUAUUACAAUGGCAAUGAUGACAUUAAAAAAAAAAAAAAGUAGCGUAAGAAGCGAUUGUACAGCACAUUCAUAUUUUGCCAUAAAUGCAUACAUACACUAAUGACAUGUCAUGUCACAUUGACAUCUUCAGACAUCCCAAGACAAAACAAAAUAAUAAUAAAAUGAAAAAAUGGGUUUAUAUAAUAUAAUACUAAUAUUAAUAUUUAACUCUCAAAAUGAAAGACAGAAAGAUCGUUAAGAUUUUAUCCUAAUCUGCACUUUCUGGCUUCUGCUGCCUGUUGCUGUGCCAUUACCCUUUUCAGUCAUUUUUAUUUACAAAUCAAUUCCCAACUCUCUCUGUUUCCAAAUUCUUUUAUUUAUUUUCUUUUUCUAUAAACUGAUUGAAUAAUUUUAAUGUUUUAGAAAUAACAAAAUUUAUAAGUCCUGUAAGAUUUAUGAUCUCAAAUUGCAUUAUCUAAACAUAGCCAAAUUAAAGUAAAAGUGCUUUCUUUCUCUGUUCAGUCAAAAUUAAAAGGCUAAAACAUAUUCCAGAGCACUGACAGACCCAUAUUCACUAGUAAUUAUCCAUCCAUUCCAUGGAAAAGAAGAAACAGAAGAAAUAAAGACCCUUGUCCAUGUAAAGUCUCUCCAUUAAAUGAUGAAUCUCUGAGAAGUUGCAAUACAAGAAUCAUAUCCACAGACCCUACAAAAAUUCUCGGUCUCUUUCUCUUUUCUUCCUUAUUUCUGUUUCUAAAGUUGAUGGGAGCCUUCAAUGCGUAUGUUUCAAGCAAACUCAGAUGAAGAAGAGGUAACUGUUAAAAGACCCAUUUUCGCUUUUGCUUUCCUUUCAACUCUGAGUUGCCCAAAAUCAUAGAAAAGAAGGAAAUUGCUUUUAUCAAAAAAAAAAAAAAAAAGAACCUGGCUUUGUAUUUGUUUUGGCUUUUCCUUUUUCUCUACUUGCUUUUCUUUUUACCGAUUUCCUCUGUUACUGAACAAGAGAUGCUUUUGGUUUUCCUUAUGUUAUGUAAAGAAGCAUAGAUUGAGUUAACAAUGAAUGCUUUCAAUAAACAUGGUAUAGCGCAUUUGGAUUAUUAUUAAAUUGUGUUAGAAUAAAAUCCACGCUUUAGGUUAAUCCAUGUUUUCUUUUUGCAGCUUAAUGAAUCAGUUUGAAUCAAGAAAAGGGUAAACACAGCUAUACUAGCGAGGAGAUGGAGCAAAGAGUAUGUUCUACGUUGUACUUCUAAUCUUAUCUUGAUUUUGUUUCUUUUUUCGUUCGAAAUUUUAAUUCUUAUUCAAGUUCCGUAAUGGUUGUCUAGUGUGAUGAGCAAGGAAAUAGUGGGGAAGGUCAGAAUUCCCUUUUACCUUCUGAUGAGAACAGAGCCAGAAAUGGCAAUAUAAGCGAGCACAUUAGUCAGUUACCAGAAGAUGUUCUCUUGAACAUAUUGUCUAGAUUGACAAUGAAAGAAGCAGCACGUACCUCCAUCCUCUCCACGAGAUGGAGACAUUUGUGGACAUAUUACACUGGUAUUAUGGACUUUGAUGCUUCACUUACAAUGUGGUACUUGCAGCUAGGUUUAGGAAGCAAGUCACUUGACAUGGAAAGACAUAGUUUUGUCAGUUGGGUAAAUCAGGUUCUAAGAUCACAUGAAGGUCCAACUAUGGAGGGAUUAAGAAUUUGUUUUGAUUUGGACUCUGAUUUUAUGUACGAGAUUGAUAGUUGGAUUACUAUUGCAAUGCAAAAGAGAGUUAAAAGACUAGAGAUAGACCUGACAAAUAUCGAGCCAAGUAUCAAAACUACAGGGUCAUAUGCCUUCCCAUCAGGUUUGCUUAAUGAUUCAAGCUUUAGCUCUCUAAAGACCCUGCAGUUGAAUAUGGUCGAUGUGACUGGAGAAGCUCUUCAGCACUUGCUACUGUCCUGGUGUCCAUUACUUGAGGUGUUAAGCAUAGUAAAUUCAACAAGUCUUGUGAGUCUUAAAGUUUCUGGUUCAUCACUCAAACUAAAGUACUUGGAAAUGGUGUGUUGCAACAACUUGAAAUAUCUUGAGAUUACUGCAGCAAGUCUUGUGUCUUUUAAGUAUUAUGGACCAUUGAUAGGUCUUCCUUUUAAGAGUGUGCCUAAUCUUGUUGAUGCUUCCUUUGGAGGACCAUUUUGUCAAUUGACAAUCGAGAAUCUCUACCAGUUUUCCCUCUAUAUAUUGCAACUAGAGACGCUGAGAUUCGAUGUUGGAAGUGCUUAUGUGAGUAUGAUGGGGAUUUUCAAUUUAAUUUAUUUUCAUUUCCUGUGUUUAAGAAUCUUAUCAGUUGUGUUUCAAUGUUCAAAUUGAUUCAGUUAAUGCGCGAGUUCCCCACAAAUUUUCCCAUAUUGAGUAAUGUCAAGCAUUUGGAAGUGACAACCGCAGUGUCUGCUGUUGCACAUUGCCUCUUUCCUUGCCUCUCCCUGCUUAAAGGAUGUCCUUUGCUCCAUAGGUUUACGCUUAAGGUGGUUAUACCUCCCUAUCAAAUUACAGACUGUUUAGUAUUUUGAGAAUUUUAUGGUCUUUCUUAUUCAUUGUGGAACUAUCAACAUUUCCGUUUGAGUCGAUGACAAAAUCUCUUCUCACCAGGUGGAUCAGUUGUGCAAACUAAAAAGUUUUUAAUUCUUUCCCAUUCUGUAGAUAUCAUGUGAAAGCACUUUGGUAUGUAGAGCCUCUCAGAAAGUCCCAGAGGAUCAUAGUCAUCCGUGCCUCAAGGUAGUGGAAGUUCUUGGCUUUCAAGGGAAUGCUGCAGAAGUGGAGCUUGUCCUAUACUUUCUCAGGAAUGCUGCAGUGCUCAAGAACUUAAUUAUCAGUCCUUGUGCGCCAUGUUAUCUAAGAAGCCCGUCGCAAUUGAAAUUCAAGGAAACCGAGCUGUAUCAAUCUGCCAAGCAACAUGCGGUAGAACUAGGAGCAAGGGUACCUCCAGGAGUUGACUUUGUGGUGCUUUGAUAAAAAAUUGUUCUAAUGAUAUUUUCUGCAGAUUUUUUAAGAGAGUUAUGUAAGAAAUGCUGCUUUAACAUUUUAAUGGUAGUCUUCUACAUUUUCCCCUACACUCUUAGCACGGGGAAGAAGUGGACAUUAUACGCCCCCAAAAUAAAGAGUUUAGUCUUCGAAUAAUGAGAAAUUUUUAGGUAUGUUCUAUGAGCAAUUCCAAAUUUUCAAUGUGAACAAUGACGAAUUGCUUAUAUAUGGGUAUAACUUUAUUGUAUUACUCUAUGCUAGAAGUGGAGGCCUACGAAUAAUUGCUCUUUAAGAUUAGGUAGGAACUCUUUGUUAGACUUGCAUUGACAUUGAGUGACGUAAAUGGCUCCAAAUAGAAUAUGAAUGGCCAUAAUGUAACUCUUUGCCAGUGUUACAAGACCCAUGUGGGCUCUUGUUAAAAUGGCUAUAAUAUGAAACAAAGGAAGAUGAUUAGUAGAUAUGACCCACCUGUUGACCACCAGAUAGCGGGUAGUUCUCUUUCAAACCGAAUUAGGCAAGGUUAAUUACGAAGGGCAAUCAUCUAUAGUGAAUCUUCAUCUCCAUAGCCAUUGAUGUAGAGCUCCUUCAUCAACAGACGUCUUUUAGACAUCCCAGAAAUCAUGUGACGAAUUUGAAAUCAUUUGAUACUAUGGUAAGAUUCAUGCAUUUGAAUUAGCAGUAGUUUCCUGUUGACUUUCUAAAUUCGACAAUGAAGGUUCACAUCCUCCAACAAUAUGUAAAUCUACACAAGAGAGAGAAAAGGUACCAUCCAAAAGCCAACCUCCGCUUGAACUUAAUGGCAGUCAAACCAUGGACACAUUGGACCAAGGAAAAUGGCUCAUACUGCGCCCAGUUUAGUCCCAUUUCUAUUGACAUAUCCAGAGCAGUGCAGCACAGUACCAUGCAGAAUUUCUCACAGGUAAGAGCUAUGAGAUAAUUGCAGAUAUGGCUAAAAUUCUAUCCUACUAUAUAGUCUAGCACAUAUAUUUUUUCUAGCUUCGUCCCAUCUAAGUUUUAGACAACUAAUUCUCCACCCAACGAAAAAGAACUGUACAAGGCAAACACUGAUGACCACCUCAAUCUGCUUCCCGUCUGAAUUGGAAUAGCCAAAACCUCAGUGGCUACCCUACUUCUCAACUUCCUGGGUAUACUUAGCGCCUUCCUAACUUUAAGAAAAUGUAUAAAUUUGGGGCUAAAAACAAUUCAGAGGGGAGCAAUCCUACUCUGCUGCAAAGCACUUCAAAAAUGAUUUUUCCAUGUAAACACACAAAACAUCGUGUAGAUAACUAAUCAUGCAUAUUAUGGAAACGCAGCCAUCUGUAUUAAUCCCAAGUUCAGGUGCCAAUAACUGCAGGGUUUACAACAUUCCAUGCUUUUUCAGCUGUUUAACUGAAUCCUACCUCUGAGUGCUUUUCCAGGGCGGGCAGUUCUGAGUUGCCACCUCCAGAUCUCAUCAACAAUUAUGCAUUGAUAAGGAAAGACGAUGUUUUGAUAGAUUCACAGAGAGAAAGCAACAUAUACAAAUAAGAGGCAAACGAGGGGAUAUGAUCUCAUCUUGUAGGAGUACUAUAGGCAAUUGCAAUAUGAAACUCAAAAGUUCAAUAGAAAUUUGUCAUACGAACCAAAACAAAUGGCUGAUUAAGAAUAUAAUAUGUGAAGCAUCAAUGAAUAAUGCCUAUUCCCUAAAUCUAACCAUGUGCUCUCGGUUCAUUUGCAAUCUCCAAACAUAGUUUCACUUUCUAUCAAUGAAGAGAUAGUUGUUCUGAUCUGUUAAUACCAUGUUUCUGUCUUUUGAUAAAAGAAAAACAAGUCAAUUCAUGGAUAUGGAGCAGCAUGAGUGAGUGGCAAAACAUCAACAAGAAGAAAAAGAUAAAGUUCAUAUUUGAACCUCUUCCUGAGUAGGCAAGAAACACGCAAUUUACUCCAUCUGAGAAUUUUAUGAAAUAGAAACCCACCUGUCCUUUAUCAUUCUAUUCCUCUAAUAAAUUUUCUCAAUCAAACAAAUAUUCCAAAAUUAAAAUAAUUUCCAUCUCAUAACGUUGCAAAACAACAAACCACCUAGUAAAAUUCUUCAAUCUAUCCUCAUAUUCAUUGGUGGCAUUAUUCAUUACUCAGUUAACUAGAAUGAAUGUGCAAUUACAACAUCAAGUAAUCCAAUUCUCUCUCUCUCAAGACUAAAUGUAGCCUGACUUGAACAAUUAUGAGCACAAACUCUCACUUCAAUGUGUAUAAUAAAAACCAAAUAUUACUACAUUACCAAAAAAGAUCAAAAUUUCACCAAUUAAUCCACCAGCUUUCAACUAUAGCAUAUAUCCAAAAAAUUAGAAUGGUAGCAUACCAUUACUACGGGUUAGUCGACUUUGGCUUCAGUUCCUUCAGCAGCAGCUUCAGCCAACAGCUUCUUAUUCUUCUCAAUAGCAUCAGCAACUUCUUUAGGCAUAUACUUCUCAUCAUGCUUAGCCAAAACCUCCGUAGCCUUGAAAAAACACUCACCACUUCUGGCUUUCCCUGAAACACUAUUAGCAUUUCCAUCCUUCUUUAAUUCCUCUGUUAAAGGCUUCACAAACCCUUCUACGACAACAGAAUGGCCUUCUCUAAACAAGUCUGGCAACGAUCCUUGAUACCUUACCAAAAUAUCAGUCACUAAAUCUGUUAUAACAAACUCCAUUUCAGGUGAUGUAGCAGGUUGUGCUACACUCCCUUCAAGAACCAACCCACCUAAUCUAAACUUGUUUUUUUCUGGGUUUGUUUUGUAUUUUUCCAUAGCGUCUGUUGGGGUUAUGUAAAACACCAUCUGAUCUUGGAAAUUGUUUAUUACAAUUACUAUGAAACCUGCUAUGCAACUGAAUGUUAAUGCGUAGGUCCAGAGUCUUCGGGUUUGGAGUUGACGAGCUCGGGCUCCGAUAUCUAUUUUAGAUCGGGUCGGGUUGCGGCGAGCUGUGGAGAAGAAACGUAAGCUAGAGAUCGUAGUGAGAUCUGAAACUGGAGACAGAAUUAACGGAUUUGAACUUUUGAUUGUCGCGGAGAGGAUUGGGGAACCAUAUUCGAAUAAUCUGGUGGUUUUCGUGCGGAGGAGGUGGGAUCUGAGGCGGUGAAGAGAGAAACGAAAGGCCAUCCUUUUGUGUUUGUUUUGUUUGUUUCUCGAAAAAGUGAGCGAAAAUUUUCGAGUAGAAGUCGGAAAAGUAGUUGGCCGGUAGGGGUUUUUGUAUUUGGGGUUUUUGUGAAAGAAAGGGAAAGACUAAGGCGGCUAAUUGAAGUUUCGAGCGAAAAGACCAUCGAAAUCGUUUCCGUUUACCAAUUAUAAAACGAUGUCGUUACAUUCUCGUUACCAAUCACGUCAUCACCGUUCAUGCCACAAUCUCACAUCACUGCCACUCUGCCAGGCAUGAUGUAUCUUCGUUCAGCCUUACAAUAAAUAGACAAAAUCCAUCAUAGUUUACUUCAUUUAGACUCUAAUCCUCAAUUGAAUUUUAGUUAAUUCUUGUACAUUCAUUUUUUAUUUUAUUCUAUUCGUUUUGUAUAUCAAAUAACAAAAGUGUUACUUAAUUUCUAUUCAAAUAAAUUUUAAAAAAAUAAAUUAUAUUAAUAAAAGAUGACGAUGUGGCAAGAGAUCAGAAGGGAACGACUGAGAAUUGGGCUACAAUGAUGCCAACUAGAAACAACUGCAUCAAUUAGGUGGAAAGACACAAGACCUAGGUGCAUCAACAGGGGAACAACUGCGAACUACCGCUUCAAAAAAAAGGUUCAUCAUUUUUUUUUGUUAUCCAAUAGCUAGACUGAAUCAAGCUGAUAAUUGGCAAGGUCCCACAUAGUUGACAUAAUAACUUUUCUCUUGCUUACGGAGCGUUUGGCGGUAUCGUAUAUAAUAUCACUCGCUACUUUGAGAACAGUGAAAGCAAAAUCCUAUUAAGAAUAAGGCUUUAUCUCGUUCCUUCCCACGUCCCAUGGUAGGCUAAACCGGAAAGAGAGAGCAAUUGUCACCUUCAAGCUCUAAGUCAAGAAGUCAAGCAGCAAAGACCGCUACUAAUAAGAUAAAAAAGAGCUACCUUUUUCUCACCCUUGGUGAACUCCCUUUAAAGACAGAAGCGCAUCCAACCCCAUUCUUUUGGCAGCAAGUCAGAUUCCCUUAUACGAGGAUAUCCUAGAAUGUGGCACUGACUUUUAGGACAGUCGGUUUUUAUUGCUUACAUGGUCAAGGAAUAGAUGGGCCUUGAACUGGGAACUCCAAACAAAAUCGAUGAUUCUAGGUUGGGCCACUAAAUAAAGAGUUUUGAUAGUGCCGAUUACAGUAUAGAGUUUUGAUCUGAACGACAACUAAAACUGCAACGAUUGUGAUGCCAUCAUUGGCGGCGACAAUGACACAAACUAUUAUUAUUGUUGUUGUUAUGGAUGAGCUUGGUUAUUCCACCAUUGAGAAACCAAAAAUACUAGCAAUAAGACAGAGAGAUUGAGUAUUGAAGGCAACGCAUGUAAAUAGAAAACAAGAGAUUCAACCAUUGUGUGAACCGCUGGGAAACGCGACAAGGAUGAUAGAGGCAAGUUCUUUUCGGCGGAAAUCUUGGCAUCGAGUGAGGUGGAGCAUUUCUGGUGAGGGGCUUCAGAUUCUCAAAUGUAUGUUACAUGAAUAAUCACUUAAAAUUGAUUUGAGCAUUUCUUUUUUAUCCUUGUGGAACAAAACUAGUCAAUAAUGAUAUAUAGCUACACGAGUUUAUCUGUACAUAAAUUGAGCCGGAAACACCUAUUAUCAUUGUUGGUUUAUUUAGUUUUCAAGCAAAUGGAAAUAUAGAUGAUACAAUUUGAGAGGUCAAACAAUUGUUGUUGCAAAUUGCUCAUGAGUUCUUUUCACCGAUAUCUUUAACAUCGAGUGGAAUAAUGGAAGUUCGCUUACCAGAGUUGAGGUUUGUGUGUUUUUUGUGUGAUUAUUCCAUGUUACAUGCAUUAUGUCAACGGUGACAUUCUAGGGCUGAAAUUUAUAGGAAUUGCAGGCUUUUCUCCGAAGGAGUUGAAAGAAAAUGUAAGCUGAAUUUUUAUAAGUUUGUUAUUUUUUGUAAGUGUGGUUAUUAUUUAAUUGUUGUUGUCAUCUUGUAUGCAUUGGAGAAAUUCAAAUUUAGGAUAACCAAUCCUAUUGAUUUCAUACAUUUGUUCUAUUGUUGUUGGAUAGGUGUAAUGACUAUGUUGGAUAAGUAUAGCCAUAAUGAUGGCUCAUGUGGGUUUUUUCUAAUAAUACAAUGAUAUAAUUUUAUUUUAAGAAAUUAAGUGGCAAAUAUUAAGUGUCACAUACGCAAGUUACGAUGAAUUAAUACAUACCCAAAAAAAUAAUAAAAUAAAAAAAAUAUACAGGAUUAAGUAAAAUUUAAUUAAUAAUUAGGAACUAAAUGAACCAAAGUCGAAAAACAUAGAGAUAAAAUGAUGGAUCUUGCCUAAUAAAUACGUGGCAUUUAACACAUCGUCUACCACUUCAUCAAAACAAUUCCCAUAUAAAAAUGCCAAUUGAGUUAAAGUUAACUACCCGGCAUGACGUGUCAGCUACAUUAAACCACUAGCAAUAUAAAUUAUUACCAUAAAUUAUAUCUUUUGUAUUUAAGUAAAAGAUCGAUAUAUAAAAAACAAUAAUAAAAAAAUAUAUAUUGCCAAAACUAAUAAAAAUAAAUAUUAUUUAUUUUUUUAUAUAUUAAAUCUUUAUUAUAUUGUCAUCUUAUUCUUUAAAUUUAUCAUAUAAAUUCUUUUUAGAAGUAAAACUAAAAAUUUAUUAAUUUAUAUAACGGAUAAAUAGUUAUGUUGAUAUUACACUUUUAGAUUAUAUUUUUAAUUUGUAUUAAUAUUUUAAUCUUUUUUAUUUUGAUACCAAAAAUUUUAAUUUUCACUACAGAUAAUUUUUUACUGUGCUUAUUAAUUUUAUUUCAAUUAAUGAUACUUAUAGGAAUUUUAGUGAUUUUUACUGAUGUAUUAAUUAGAGUCAUAUAUAAGUAAAUAUUUGGCUAUCACGUCAACAAAAAAAUCAAUGAAUGUCACUAAGUGUGUAAAGUAACAACACUAUGAUACGUUUUAAAUAUGAGCUUAAAGAAUAGUAUUAGCAUUAAUCUUUUAUUGGUGUUUUAGGUGGAUAUUUAUAAAAAAAAUACUAAUUAUUUCUAUAUCAAGAGAAAGUGGAUUUCAGUUUUUUAGAAAUAGUAUUUAUUGAAUAUGUUAGUGAUUUACGAUCAAGUAUUGGUGAGUUAUUAACUCACCUGAAAUUCACCUUUAGAUGAGUCUCUGUUAUGUACCAUCCAUCAAAACAAAAUUAAUGAAUAUGACACUAGAAAAAUAAAUUGAAUAAAUUAAUACUAUUUAAAUACAAAUAGCAAAAUUUUAAUACUAACAUAGCAAUUUAUCAAAGCCAACCAUAGCGGUAAAUAAAAUAUAAAUGUGAAAACUCUGCUUUAUAUAUCAUCAAACAUUGAAUACAUUUUUAAGGAGUACGGUCAUUUGUGAUAAAAAUUAAAGUUUUAGUAUUAAAAAAAGUUAAUACAUUCAUACUAAUUGAAAAUAUAAACCAAAUUUUUGGUAACAGUUACCCCGGAUAUAACACUGAUCCAUAACUUUUUGUAAACUAAUCUUUAACAGAAUGUGAGAGAUAUUAACUUUAAAACUCAAGCUUUUAAUGUAAAUUUAAGUUUCAAGUCGUUUUUUUCUCUGUAAUGUUUUAGCAAGCAAUUUAGUUGGAAAAGCUGUUACAAUAUAUAAUUUUUCAGGAUUCCCACUCGAACAACAAAACUAGGCGGCUCAAUCUUUUUCUUUUUUCACAAAAAAUAUAGAGCUGUUAGGAACGAGAGCAGACAAAAGCAAGGAGGCCCUGAACGAUAGCUUCAAUUUCCCAAGGACAGUCCUGAAGGGAAUUGAUAGCUCUAAACAAAAUCAAAGAGUCAGCAGGGGAGUUCACGGGGACCACCGAGUAAGCAGCAUAAAAAAGAGCCACAGCUUUAGCAAAAAGAGGAGAGGCCGGUAUAAUAAAACAAGAGGAUCCAUCCACUAAAGCUCCAAGAGAAUUCUUGCAAACCACCGCUGCAACAGCUUCACUAAUAUCUGGAUUAUAAGCGGCAUCAGAAUUAAACUUUAGAACACUUUUGAGGGGGAAGGCACCACCUCACUGGCCUAUGAUUUGUCGUAGUGGGGCUUCCUCCCAGAGCUUGUCGGUUCUGGGCUGCAUUCAUUAAGUCCGUAAUUAGUUGCUUAGCUCUGCAAAUAAAGAAUAAAGGGUCACAGCUUUUUCCUUCAAUAAUGGCAGCAUUCUUGCUCUUCCAGAUGCUCCAACAUAGGCAACGAGUUAAUAAAGAAUCAGAAGAUUACUGACCUCUAUAUGAAAUAAUAUCCUGUCACAAAUUAGAGAAAGAAGUUAAACCCAUGCCAUUGGGAGAAUAGCUUAAAUUGGAAGCUAGGCAGGUAGCCCUAGAAUGAUCACGGAAAAACAAGAGAUGCUAUAUGGACUCCUCCUCCCUGAUACAAAUAGGACAGAUGGGUUAAAAAACCAAGCUCCCUGCUGAAAAGAUUAACUUUAGUAGCAACGAAGCUGCGAAAUAAUUUAAGUUUAGGAGAGAGGUUAGAGUGCGAAUCAGAUCUCCAAAGACUAGAAUCCAUUGUAGCAGUUGAAGGAGACUGGGCAGGUGAUAUUCUGUCAUUCCUAUCACACAAGAGGUCGCAUAAGCUUAUGGGCAUCAAUAUUCACGCAGGUAUUUUUACCACCUGAUGGUAAUUGGCAACUUGUUUAGUUUUUAUUGAACCACGAUAACUUGCCACGUCAUUAACUGAGCCAGGUGGCACCUUGUGGUUUGGUUUGUUCCACGGGUGAAAGUCGCCGGCAAGUCAUGGAAAUUGGAUUUCGGGUCAAGUAACAUGGACAUGGAGUUGGGAAUAUAUUUGACCCAAUAGCUGAGGCGAUUGAAUGAGAAAGCCAGUUGGAAUUGGAACAGCUUCGUCUUCAUCUUCAUCGUCUGAUGCUACCAAAAAGUAAUUAUAUAAAAGAACAGUAGAUAACAAUGGAAAGUUAGGUAUAAGAUAGUAGAGGAAGUAAAGUCAUCCCAAAAACCCAAAACCCAGUUUUGGCCAAUUCAUUUCUUAAACUUCCCUAUUAAAACCAUCAUUUAUUUGUUUAGUGAAGCACAGCCCUAUAUCUUUCAAUUUGUACCCUUUCUGACGCUAUUGAUAUCUUGAGCUUACAUAUGGAUUCUCAAGUGGUGGUAGCACUUGCUCUUUCUCUUGUUGGUGGAUUAAGCACUUCUAUAGGUCUGUUACAAACCCUUACUUCUUUUCUUUUUAUUGAAGUUAAAAGUUGGUCGUUGAAUUAGAUUAAAACUAAAAGCUAAAUUUGGUUGGCUCCUCAUGUAGUUUCCUUGUUCUUUAACUGCACUCCGCACUCACCACUGGUAUUAUGCUUCAUUUAUAUAUUCAUUUCAAUAUGCUUCUCUGUCUUUCUCGUUUGUGGACUGGAUUUUUGUUUGAGAGGAUUCAUAGAUUGCAUUUUUGACUCUGUAUUAUGAGUUCAUACCAAAAAGAAAAAGCAAGUGGUACAUAUCACUUCCUUAUUGUAGUCUAUAACGUUCUUAACGUAUAAGCCUAUAAAGUUCAUCAAUCUCAAAAGUUCCCUGCUGUAUCCUGCAAAACUUAUCUGUUUAUGUCUCUCACUUUUGGGUGGUUUUAGUACUUCAGUUGGUAGUUUAGUUUACCGUAUUUUUUACUUCAGCAAUCAGCUUUAUGGUCGAGGAAAAUAUCUCUAUAUUUUAGGUUCGAAAUAUGUUAUUAACUUUUGUUUUGGGCAUUGCUGAGUACUUUUCUAUUUUGAGUUUGCUUCAUGGUGCACUGAUGCUGAUUGUAUUUCUGCAUUCGGGCAUUUGCUAACUUAAAUUGCCCCAGGUUCAUUUGAGCCUAUUUCUUUUUCAUUUCUGCACUGCUAUUGUCGAUUUAAUUUCGUUAAGAAGUAAUUUGGUCAAUUUUGAUACGUGUCUGUUAGCAAGUGUCCAGGCAAGAAAUAUCAUGAUUACUAUUAGUUUCUAUGAUGGUACAAACAUAGUAAAAUUCUUUUGGUGCUUACGACAUAUUUCUGGUUGCUUGAUACUCUACAAAUGAGUGUAGGUCAAAGAUUAGAUUUUGUUCUGUAAUCUAAUAGUAAUGUUUGGGUCAUGAAACAGGUGCACUUUUUGUAAUUCUUAAUCAGGCUCCCAACUUAAAGAUGCUUGGCCUUUUACAGGUGAUUCCAAGAGGUUGAACCCUCCGCAUCUGAUCCAAAAAGCUGGUUUCUAUUUUCCUUUCUUUGUUUCUUUCUCUUGUCACUUAGUUAAAUACAAUGCCACUUAUAAAAAUAACAAAAGAUUGAACCUUGAACAGAUAUUUACUGAUGGAGUUAUUGUUUGCUUUAUGGAUCAUAGUUUCUUGCUUGCUAUAUCUUACAUAAUUUUUCUUUAGUACUGAGUUUCCUCGUCUAUCCUAGUUUAAUUGAUAAAGAGUGAUGAGAAAUUGGUCAAGGAAUUGAGUUACCAUGAUCGAUACAAACUUGAUAUCUAUCUCUGAAGAUUCUUUUCUCGUAGUAACGUUGUCUAAACCUCUUUGUGCAGGGCUUUGCUGCAGGGCUAAUGUUGAGUAUAUCAUUCCUAGAUCUGGCUCAUAAUGCUAUGAACUCAAUUGGCUUCUUGAAAGGAAACCUUUGGGUUAGCAAUAUCUCUCCAUUUUCUGAAUUCUAUCACGUUUUCUGAGAACGUUAAUUAAUUAAGUCGUUUUAAUCUCUGAAUGAUUCAGUUUUUUGGAGGUGUUCUGUUCUUUGCUAUUGUUGCAAGGUUUAUCCCAGAGCCAACCCUUAUCCCGGGUUCAGAUGUUAAAAGUAAAAAGGUUCUAAGUUAUCUUCUUCUGUAAUUCAUUAAUUUUCCAUUACUCAAACCUGAUGUUGGCUGCUCCUCUAAGUGCUGAGAUGUUAAAUAAUUCGAUUUUGAGCAGAAAAAUGGGGAUGAAGGAGGAAAGGACAUCAUGAAAAAGCAUCGUCGCCAAGUUAUGUUCAGUGGGAUUGUUACUGCCAUAGGUAUGAUUAACAUUGUCUCUGAUGAUGUUACGAUUUCACUGUGUCAAGUCCUACUCUCUUUAUUCGGAAUUCAGAGAGUUAAAAGUUGUACUGCAAGCAUAGUGAAUAUAACUUCAGAUAGUAGUGCAGGGGGCAUGUGCUUUAAGAAAACUAGUAGAUAUGGAAGAAAAAACUCACAUUGUGUAUGUAGCCUCAAUAAUGGUAGAAACAAUAUUCAGGUUGCAUUUAACCCAAUUUCUAAUUUUGAAACUCACUUGAUUUCUUUUUUAGUGAUCUAUUAAAAAAGAGUUCGUAAGUGGGUCUAAUUGGGUUUUUUUUGUUCUUUUGUCUUUUCAAUUGCAGGCAUAAGCUUGCAUAAUUUUCCAGAGGGAAUGGCAGUGUUCCUUGGGUCAAUUAAGGUGGCUUAAGCCUUCUUUAUAUUUCACCGAAAUACUGUGAGAAUUUUAUGAGAUAAUAUAAAACAGUUGAAAUAUGUUCUUAUGGAUUAAAAUUUUGCACCCUGUACUUUUCUGUAAUCUUUGAGGCAUCUUAAGUUUAAAUUCAGUCACCAAUACUUUAGUUUAGCAGUUUGUAAACCAUUUUCAGUUGUGUUAGUCACUUUCUCUCCAAUGAAUUUUUUUGAUCCAAGAUUGAUGUCCUGAAGAUCAAAAAGCUAAGCCAUUGAUAUUGGGGUUUAAUGUUAUGGUCUCCUAUAUGCUAUGAUAUUGCAUUAGAAAUUUUAUGACAUCAAGAAGCUGUUCAUUAGAAAUUUUAAUGUGAUGGAAAGCUUUUCGUUUCAAAUGCUGAAAGGACUAUAUUUAUUUGUUUUCUGGCAACCAGUAUGGUCUUUUAGCCUACUACUAUCAAGUAUUUAAUUUUUUGUGUCACAAGUGCCUUUUUAUCAACCACAAGUUACCCAAAAUACUCAAUAUGCCUAAAAGCUGUGCAACUGAUGUCACAUAGUUUCUAGUGGAUAUUAAACUCUAACGUGCACUAACUUAUAAUUUAUAUGCAAUUGGCAACUGGUAGUUGAUGGUGACUGUUGUGAACUUCAGGUCUUAAGACCCAGCAACACUAAUACUUACUCUUAUGCAACUAAAUUGUGCUGUUUGAUCUUUUUGUAGGGACUACGUGUUGGUCUUAAUUUGGCUUUGGCCAUUGCCUUGCACAACAUUCCAGAGGUAUGGUAACCCAGAUCCUUGGUAUGGCUUAUUUUUUUUCAUCAGAAUGGGGUGUUGGCCUCCCUUAAAAAUAUUGAAUUCUUUCUAUACUCUGUUCAGAGUUGAGUUAAGAAGAGUCAGCUUAUAAUACUUGGUUCCCUCCUAAGUUUAAAUAGAACUUCUGUGGCACUGCUCUGAUAACUUCAGUUCUAGCUCCGAUGUUUUCUCUCCUGGUUUCUUCCAGGUUAGAUGGAGCUUAAACAAUAUCUGAAGGAAAACUAUAUGUUGCAUUACACGUUCUCCGCAAAUAUUUCUUUUCUUCUUAAUGCUUGUUCUAGUGGUAAUACGCCUGCUUAUAAUAUUCAUAACUUGUUCUUGGCAUUUACCUUCAAGGCAGGCCCAUAACCUGAUAGAUUAGUCUGAUAUUGCAUUUCUUUUGUCAUCUCUGGCAGAUAGAAGGUCAUUGUAAUCUUGUUGUGCUUCAAGGCAGUGAUCUUGCACCGGAUCAUGACUUUUGAACAUUGAAAAAUAUCUAAGUAUUAGUUCAUAGUCUCAACAAAAUCAGAGAUGUAACUAGUUUAUUUUGUUUUUGUUUUCCUUCUGUUUUUUUUUGUUUGAAGACAGGAAUGUGCCUAGUUAAUAUGUAAUCAGUCAGUACUUUGACUGCUUUUGCAUAGACAAGUAGUCUUCUGAUAAAUAAAUAACUAAAAUAGUGAAAAUUUUACAUUUUAUUUCACUAACAUGUUUGUGUGCAUUUUCGCAGGGGGUUGCUGUUGCACUGCCUGUUUAUUUUGCAACAGAAAGGUAAGAAUUGUGGAGGGACUUUUAGUCUUGAUGAAAAGCAUGUUUCAUGUUAUAGUACACAGACAAUUAAAGUGUUGGUUUAUGCACAUAUCUCAGCAAGUGGCAAGCUUUUAAAUUAGCAACUCUGUCUGGUCUUGCCGAACCACUUGGUGUUGUGCUUGUAGGUAUGUCAGACUACUCUAUUGUGCUUAAUACUAAAGCUUGGAAUGUAUUUGUAUUCUGUACAUUGAGAAUAUAUUUUCCCUUCACUGCAGCAUAUCUAUUCCCAAGCAGCUUAAGUCCUGAAAUCCUCGAGGGCCUGCUGGGAUCAGGUUUGACUACUAUUUUGUUCCUCACAUUUCAACUGAUUAGAGAAAAUUAAUUUACGGUUAAUAUUUCUCUCUACUAAUUUACUUCGGCAGUUGGUGGUGUGAUGGCUUUCCUGACCUUGCAUGAGAUGCUGCCAUUGGCUUUUGAUUAUGCGGGGCAGAAGCAGGCUGUUAAGGCUGUAUUCCUUGGCAUGGCAUUCAUGUCCGCAAGGUACUUGAAAUUCUUUUUAACUUUGGUGCGGUUUGAAGAACCAAUUACAAAGCUUGUGUAUUGUUUGAAUGAAAUUAGUGCAGCUCCUUGCCUGCUGGGUUCAUUAGAAAAAACUGGCUACUCUUCAAAAUUCCCAACCUCAAAAACUGGUUCAUUAGAAAGAUUAAUGGACAACUUAAUGAAUCGUGCUUGUUCUUUAUAUUUGUUUCUCCGUUUUCCUAACUGCUUUCAGAAAGUAAAAAUGGUUAAUUAUUCUAAAAGUUUUCCCGUAUUUUCAUAAAAGAUUUGAAAAUAAAUCUAGAAUAGAUUUUAUGGUUGUAUACUGUAGAGCUAGAGCUAUUACAUCAGGAAAUUUAUGCAACUCAAGACUGUUUUAUUCAUCUUUUCCUUGUUCUUUGUUCAAUGCCUCUAGUAGAGGCCCUCUGCUGCUACAUCUCACAUGUAUGCUUGUGCUGGUUCUGCAGCCUUUACUUUCUUGAAAUCAGCUUACCAGAGGAUAUAAGUUUGUAGCCAUGGAUCAACCACAAUGUUGUACAUUCCAAAACCAUAGUACUUAACAAGGGGCCGCUCUCGUUAUACAGAAGCGAAAUCUUGUAAUUUGAUCUCCUUCGCAAGGUCCAUAAGGCAGGGGUAUCCUAAAGGGUAAAGUAUGAUUGUAUUUCUUUUUUUCUAAAUCAUUGAAUGCUCACCAAUUUACUUAAUUUCCUGUAAGAGGAAAAUGUAAAGGGGAUAGGGAGGAGGUGAAGAAAAGGGGGAAAAAAAUUAUAUUGGAUCUCAUCAUCUUGAAUGAACUCGAUUAUCAUUUACUUUUUCCGAAUUGCUGAUGAAUCAGUCUCGCACUUAUUUUCUAUAUUUGUUCAUAGAUUAUAUUUGUGCUGCUUGGAAGCUACAGCUGCAAGGAGCUUUUCCUUGUUCGGAAAAGCCGUUUGUCGGGCCUAAGCCAAGAUGCUCUAUGAUCAAACAAAUACUAAUCAAUAGUUCACAUAUUAAGCAUGUAUGGCUAAUUUUUUCAUAAAAGUAAAAUGGAAGAAAAAAAAAAAGAGAAAAGAAAUAGACAAGUUAUCCUGGUACGAUUACUGGGUGGAGAGUUGAGUUGAGACUUUCUUUAUGUGCAACUCGGGCCAUUCAUUCGUCUUCACACCUAUCUUGGUAUAACUAUUAUUUCUUGGUUACCACCACCUUAUCUUUCUCCUGCAAUGGUGUGCGGACAAGUGAAAACGUUAAUUGAAAAGACAUUUAAAAAGGAAACAAAGACAGGAGAAAGAUCACAGAGACUACUGGUUGGUAUUUCAGACAGUAACUUUUGGUAUCCCACUCAAGAUGCAUGACAUGCAGUGUAAUAACCUUUAGAAUCCAGUACCUGUAACUAACAUGGGUUUCGAAAUUUUGUUGAAAGUGUGUUUCUGUUUCUGGGGAAGGGAGAGAAAGGGGAGUUGAGUUCAUUCAUCAAAACUCCUUCAUUUUUCUUUUCUUCUUUCUUUUUUUAAGAAAAAAAAAAAAAGAUUAUUACGAUUAUGACCAUCAAUACAGAUCAUGGGAAAUGGAAAAAAAAAAACUAUAUAAAAUAUAAACAAAUGACAAGGGAAACAAAGAUCUCAUCAAGAGAUUCAUGGGAUUAAAGGUGUCUAGUCCUAUCUUGUCCUCAUAUAGGAAAAGAGGUGGGCUUUUGAUUGGAUAUGUCAAAGUUGAAGGGAGGGGAAGGGAAGGGAAGGGAAAGUGGGGGUAAUUAGAGGGAGAAAAAGAGAGCUAUGCUGCACUUAAAAGUAAAAGAUAAGAAAAAAGUGUUUCAUCAACUAAAGGAGAAAGAAAGAAAGGAAGGAAAAACAAAGUUUCAUUCAAUGCUUUAUUGGGAAGAGGAGCAACUAAAUCUCUUAUUUUUUAUUGAAUGUACUCUCUAUAAAAGUUAACAUGUACAAACUACCCCGCAGUAAAAAAACUGUAAGAUCUUCAUCCAUUAUUCUGUACCCUUUAUUUGUUUGGAAAGAGAGAAAACAAAUGAAAAUAAAAGAGGAAAACAAGAAAAGAAAGUAACAUUUCCUUGUCUGGAAAAGGAGAAAGAUUUCUAUAUUUAUUCCCCAUUUUGGGAGAAAAUUAUUAAUAAAAAGGGAGUGAAGUAAAAUUAAUUUCCAUUAUCCUAUUUGUUCAAUUAGUAUUCUUAACUGUAUUUCUAAUUCAUUCAGAUAGAUUUUUAAAAAACUUAAAAUAGAAAAAUGGCAGUUUAGUUUUUUUUUUUUUUUUUUUUUAUAAAUAAUUUUGAUUUAAAUGACCCGAAAUAAAAUUAUUAUUUAUUAAUUAGUUUUUAAAAUAUAAUAAAAAUUAAUAUUUUAUAGAAUAUCUUAUGUCAUUUAACUAAUUUAUAGUGACAUAAAUCAUUUUAUUAGUAGGUAUGUAAAAUACUAUUCUGUUUCAAAAAGAAAUACUCUUAAAAUGUAAAAAUAUUUAUCAAAAAAAUGUUAAAAUAAAUCUUAAAGAAGGAAAAACUAAAUUGAGUUAAAUCAAAUUUGUUCAAUUAACCUCUACUUUUUUGGUUUGGAUGGAUUUGUUUAUGAGUGACUUGGUUUCUAAUUUGUCUGUUCAGUUUGAUUCUAAGUUAUGUUUGUUUACCCCUGGAUAGAUUUUCUUAAAUGUAAUCAAACUUAAAGUACAAAUUCAUGAAAGAAAAGUUUGGCAAUUUGUAUUGCUUGCUGAUAAUUUCCAGAAUUUCUCAUUAUCGUCUUUGGUAUCUAAGAAAACAUAGUAGACUAUACAGGAGUUAUCAUUAAAUAAUUAGUAAUAUAUUUACUUUGAUAAUCUAAGAAAAUAUAUUGUCUUAAUUAUCAUUGAAUAAUUAGUAACAAUUUUCUUAAAUAAGAAAUUAUUUGUUUUUUAAUAUAUUAUCUGAAGGAGCCAUAAUGAUAUUAAGAAGAAGAAGAAGAAGAAUACUUGUAUGUUCUGACAUGCCCUAAUUUGACAUAUGCCCUUAAUCCCUUAUAUAUUGCCAUAGCAUUUAUUGUAUACAUAAUUUAUUCAAGUUUUCCUUUUCUUUUCACAAGAGAGAAUUAGCAUAUCUUAGUUAUCUAGUUUUAUUCUAUAGAAAAUUAACUCUAUAGAAGAUAGAAAAAGGUCUUCAAAUUAAAACCUCAAGCUUCAAUUGAAAAAAUCCUUACUAACUCAGCUAGAAUUGGUAGUCAAGGUUAAUACUAUAUGAACUUAUGAAGGGAAAUUGACUUAAAUUCUAGUCUUCUUCUCUAUCACUGCACUCCAGAAUCUUGAUAUCUUUCUUCAAUCUCAACCUUUGUUCAUUUCCCUACAACGAAACCUCAAUUGGGGAAUCUUCGUAAACAUCCAAAGAGACACAAUGUUCAUUAAAAGACCUUUCACAAAGGCAAGAAUAUGGUAUUUGCUCGUAUAAUGACGUUAACAGAAAGAGAGGCCACACCAGUCCAAAGAAGGAUCUUUUCUAUGUUUUAAAUUUUAAAUAAAAUCAAAGAAAAAGUGUUUGUUCAAUCUUUUCUUAAAGGUCGUUUUUUUUUCUUUCUUUCUUCUUUCUUUCAAAAUCUUGACGACUUUCUUAAUGAAUUUUAAAAAGAUGAUCAUGGUGCAAGAUUUUAUGUUGCCCUUUGUUCCUUUUCCUUUUUCUUAUGGGAUUCUCUCAAACAAGAUUGUUUUCAUGCCAAUCACAAAAUCUUAAUCAAUGUAAAAAUAAAUUACAACUAUUUUAUCUAUUUUAGGAAUACAGUAAAUAUUUAUCAGUGAUAAAUAAUUAAGUACAUGGUAAUUAUUCAAUUUUAAAAUAUAAAAUAUAAAACUACUAUAUAUAUGUAUAGCAUAUAUUUAUAUUUUAUUAAAUUAUAUUCCAAACAACAAAAAAGAAAAAUAUAAAUAUUACUUCAAGUUCCACCCGUUAUAUAUUCUAAUUAGAAGGAUAUAUUUUAUUAUAACAAUUCCGGUUGAAAUUUGAGUGAGUUGAAUCGAAUUAUUUGAUUUAAGUUAGUCUCAAUCGUUUAUAAAUAAAUUGUGGAUCGUAGAGAUGGAAAAAAAGAAAGAAAAGAAAAUUAAGAUGAAUAGUUAAGGUGCCAAAUAGGGUAUUAUCCUUGUGAGCUUUACUACUCGAAAUAGUAAAAUGAAGUUAAUCACAGGUACAAUAUAUCACACUAUUCAGGAUCUAGUUUCAUUCUUACAGCGAAUUAGUUUAGCCCCCCACUUCAAGGACAAUAUCAUGUUCACAUUCUUACAGCAACACAACUUUUUCUUGCAAGAUUACUUUUAAUUCAAAAUAAUAAUAAUAAUAAUAAUAAUAAUAAUAGUAGUGCAAGAGAAGAGAAGGAAUAGGUUUUCCAUAAUUAAAGUAAACACUCAUUUUCCUGAUAAUGUAUUUUUGUUUAUUAUCCAAAGGAAUUCUUUAUAGAUAAUUGAAAAAAAAAAAAAACAAAAUGGAGGAGAUAUUUGUAUUCUUUUACCAUUUGUUUUUUUUUUGGUUACAUCAACAUAUACUCUGGUCAAAGUUAGCACCACCUUAAUAAUCAUAUAGACGCUACCCUAAACUCCAUAUUUUCAAGAAAAGAAAAGAGAGAUUUUAAUCUUAAAAGUUACUUUUUUCUUUCCUCGUUUGCAAGUUUUAAUUAAAUCAGUCACAUGUGAUUAGAAUCAGUAAGUAACAUGAAUUCUGGGAUGGUAUGUAUAAUAGUAAGAUGGCUCCACAACAGCCGCCUCAGGAAUAAGGCAACCACUAUAAGUUCAUGUAACAUAAAUAUAAAGAAUUAAGUACAAAUGGCAUUCUUCAUAUAUAGUUUUGGAUACCAGCCAUCCAAUUUAUCCAAGAAGUGAAAGACGAGAAAAAGGAGGUUCUUGUUCUUGCUGUUGUUUACGUAUAAACCAGAAAAGGAUCAAUCAAGUGUGGAUUGUUAGUUGACAAAAGUUGGGGUGGUUUCAAUUUUUAAUGUUAAAAAAGAAUGAUGAAAUUUCUGUGACAUAUCACUGGAUUAAUAAAGAAAACAAGAAAAGAAUCGCACAGUUAUCGCAUUCAUCACUCCUUUCCACUCUUCUGCUAAAUCUAUCUCUAUACGACAGUUGGAAAAAGAAAUUAAUAAUAACUAUACUCAGAGCUAUACUGCAAAUACAGCAAUACUUAAAGUGAACAGAGAGAAAAAUGAAAAAGAAAAGAAGACAGAGAGAGAUGAAGUGUGGAGUGGAGCCCAGGUUCUGUUGUUUGGGCUCAUAUGGGACAGGUACUGAAGAAAACUUAACAGUACAUAUACCCUGACUGUAUAGUGAUCAUGAAAUGACAUAUCAAGAAACCCCUUUGACUGCUUGCUCUCUCUCUGGUCACAACAAUUGUUGCCAAAGCUGCCAACAAGAUCCAUUCCCUUCCAUUCUUUGUUGCAUUAUAGUAUAGUAUCAUAAUAAUCACUCAUCUUUUAUGUACUAUAUUAACAUUGAUCACUCAUCUCAGCCCUUGCUGCCUCUUUCUCUCUCUCUCUCUCUUUUAUAGCUAGCUAAUCAUUUGAUUUGAAUUUUUAUUGUGAAUGUAAACAUAGUAUAGUAUGUUCUGUCCAUCAGUUGAAAACCUUCUCCUCCCACUAAGUUAAACAAAGGGAAAUGGCAUCAUCAUAUUGGUACAUGCAGAAAGUCUUUUAUUUUUUAUUUUUUUGAUUCUUACAGUCUUGAAAGGCUCCUUUCAGCGCAUUUGCCACUAUACGUAAUAUACUUAUUCUACUCACUCUGAGGAUGCUAUCUCCCUAGACCCUUCUAAGUGCUCGCUGCCGUGCAUAGAGAGACUCAUCUUUACAAGAGGAAUUAUUGAAGACAAAAGGUUGAUAACACAUCCCACAUGGCUAAUAAAUGGCUAUGCAUUUACUAUCCUCCCAAAAGUAGAAAUUUUUUUCUUUUCUUCCUUCUACAAUAUUUCGUCCAAUCUUCUUUUUGUUGAUUUUAACUCUAGUUUUUACACACUACUAGGGCUAACUCAUCAGCAAUAAGAUGAGUUAUUUUAUUUUUCUCUUACAAGUCAAAUAUUGCAUGCUUGGUGCUUUCCCUGUUUGUGAAUUACCUCCACAUUCACAUAUGUUGUUAAUUUGUUUUUCUUGUUCUGAUAAUUGUUAAGAUCAAUAAGGAAUAUGCAUGUUUGUCCUCUUCUGAAAUACUACACAGAGAGCCACAUAAACUCACCCUUUUAAGUGAUCUGUUAAUGUUUAACACCCCUCCCAUGGCACUGGGGGAACCUUUAGUUAUCUCUUUAACUAAAUGAGCUUUGGCAUAUUCCCCAUACCUUUUCUUUCUCCAGGAUAACAUGCAUUUUACAUAAAUGAGCAUAUACCAUCUUUGAAUGAGAAAAAGAAAAAUGGUGGAGAAUACAAAUAUGAACAUACAGAAACUCGAUCUAAUUAAACCAAAAAGAAAUACGAACUCAGUCCACCAUUUUAUCUUUCAAGAGUCCACAAAAUCACUAACUUCUAAUGUGGAAAAGGUAAGAAAGGGAAAAAGAACUAGGGAAAAAAAAGAACAAGAGAGAAAGAAACAAUAAGAAAAGAGGCUGGCCAUCAAAGUGACCUAAUACUUAAUGGGUUCUUGCUUUGAUAGGCCAUGAUUGUGUAAAACAAUUAUCAACUCAUAACAAGACAAUUUCAUGCUAUUUCACUGAGUGGAUUCGUUAUCUUGCUCAAUUUCAGAGGCUGGUUCUUCUUCCUCUUCAAAGGAGUCAAUACCAUAAGCUGCAUGGCCAUGCCCAAAUGACUUGAUAUGAUCUUUAAGAGACCUUUUGUGUUUGAAAUCAGACCCACAAGUACAAUACCAAAGCUUUCCACAGUUCUUUUCAUGAGUUCUCCAAUCACCUCUGACAGCAAAAGCCUUACCACAUUUUCUGCACAUGAAAGGCUUGAUUCCAUGCUUUCUCUUGUAAUGAGUUUGAAGGGUUCUAAAAUCCUUGAGGGGCUUUGAUCUUGGAUGAUCAAUGUUGUUUCUGCAGCCAGGUGCACAGCAGUAGCAAGGAAGCCUAAGCAUUGCGGUUGGCUGUGUUCCUCUCAGAGACUCUGGCCCUUUUCUAUACUGAGAUCCAUGCCCCCACAUAUGCAUCUACAUGUUCAAGCAAUGCUUAGAUAAAAAGAAAAUUCGAAGUGAAAUUUUUUAUUUGCCCGUUCCUAGUCGUCAUGGGAAAAGUCCAAGUAAUCAAGAAUAUAAAUAAAGAAGCUAAACAAAUCUAGAUAUAAAAUUAGCAACUAGACCUUUAAAAAUAAAGAAAGAAAAAGGGGGCAUCUUUAGAGAUCUUUGCACCUAGUCAAAAUAAAUUAUUAUACUUUGGGCUCAUCCAGAGAUUGAAUUUUCUCUCUCACUGUCAUGCUUAGUGGUACCAGUAAGGGCUUUUGCAUGUAUAGUGCAUGCAAAUCUUUUACAGUGAGCUCGAACCCUAAAAAUUUCAAAAUUAAGAAUCCGUGUGUAAGUAAAAUGAAGGAAGAAGGGUUUGCUUCAGAGAAGGUAAGGUUCGUACGGAUCUUAUAUAAUUCUGCCAAUUGAUAUGCAAUUUUUUUCUUACUUAGGGCAUAUUAUGCUAUGAAAGAAGGGAAAAGAAAAGGGUGCCUGAAAAAGAAAUAUGAUUUUCAAUAAUAAGAAGAUAAAGAACAAGAAGUCUGUUCACUUAGGAGUUGGGGCCAAAUUUGGGGCUAAGUAAUUCAAAUAUGAAGCAAUUGACUCUUCAGAUUGAGAAGCAAAUUUGCUCUAGGGCUUUCGAUGAAGAUCAUCUGAGACGUGGAAGAACUGGGGUUACUUAUGUUUCUACACAGUUGCCAAUGUACAAGAACACAAACUUCAAGGUACAAAAAGCAUAGUGCCUGAGUAGUUCAAUCAAAUAAAGGGAGCUACUGAUCUUAUUCUCAGUUGGACCAGAGGCUUUGAUUUAUUCUUAUUUUUUAAAUCCCAAAGCCAACAAAUCAUGCAAAAAAGAAAGAGAGGGAGAGAUGGAGGUGGGGAUGGAAGCUGAGUAAGAAGAAGAAAUAAACAUAAAUUAAAGAGUCAAAAAGGAAAGUUAUGUCUUAAAGUAGAGAAAAAAGAAAAAGGAAAACCCUAGUCUUAAGGACCCAUUUUCACUAUCCUAUUCUUUUUCUCAAUAUUCAAGCUUGUGGAAAUUACGAAAUCCAGCCAGGCCAGUAAAUCAGAAUUCUCGUAGAGAAUUGCAGAAAGUGUAAAAUCAAAGUAUUAGGAAUGAGAGGUUUCACUUUUAUUUUUUUCCUGCAAAAUUAAAAAGUAAAUACAUGGAAAGGGAUAGAAGAAGGAAGGAAAGGUAAAGCUUUUUCUUUUCUUUUCUUUUUUCUUUUUUUGUUUUUGUUUUUCUGUUUGAAUCGUAUCAUAUGGUUUAUUUCAUGGAAACAUACCUGCAUGUUAUUGUAUCUGUUGAAGGUCUUGAAGCAAAGAGGACAUGAAAACUGUGUAGGACCAAUCAAAAUUUGAGCAGGUGUAGGGAUCCAAUACUGACCCUUGUUAAGACUGCUGCUAGUUGUUUGAUACCCAGAAGCAACAGUAACUUCUUCUUUAUCUGAUGAGAUCUCUGUCGAAGACGAUAAAGUUGAAACCAAAUCAACAGAGCUUGGAUUAGGAAGCCCUAAAUGCAAAGCCACUGUCACGGUUUCAUCAUCAUCAUGAUCAUCCUUGUUCAUGUCCAAGUCCAUGGCAUUGGAAGAUGAUUCUUGCUGCUUUUCAUGAUCAUGCUUUGUUGGGCUUAGGCUAAGGAGCUGAAGAGCUUCUUUGACAGGAGGAGAAGGAGGUGAGGAUUGAUACUGAGCAAAAGAGCUGGUGUUAUUGAAGAUGCUACCUGAUGAGUACAAAUUGCAGCCAUAAGAUGAAUAUAAAGAUGGAUUUGAAGAAGAUGCUGAAGAGGCAGUGGAUAAGUGGUGUAAGUGCUUUAGGUUAUACCAUCCAUUGAAGUAAUUGGAAUAGGGAUCAGCCAUGAUUGGAAUUUGGAGGAGAGAAUAGUUGGGUGGAUAGAAGACAGAUAGAUAGGUUACUUAUUAGAAAGAGAGAGAGAGAGAGAGAGAGAGAGAGAGAGAGAGAGAAAGCAAAACAAAAUAAAGAUGGACCAAAAGGUUAUAUGGUGGAGUCCGAACAAGAUAACCAAAUUAAAAGAAGUGUAAGAGAGAAGGGUACAAAGGAAAAUGAACAAGAUCAAGGUUGGUAAAGUGAACCCCAAUUGAGUUAAAAAGGAGAGGCAAGAUAUCACUUGUGAGGUGUGACUAAACAAUAGAGAAUAUAUAUACAUAUAUAUAUAUAUGCUAAAGCACAGAGAAAGAGAGAAGAAACAUGAAGGUUGGGGUCAGAAAGUGGAGGAGAAGAUAAUCUUGGGACUUGAAAGAACAAGCUAUAUAUUGAAUAGUGUGUGAAAAGAUUGUAAGAAAAAGAAAAAAAAAAAAAGAAAAAACUAAUGUAAAAUUAGUCCAAGAAGAACGAGGCAGUGGAAAUUAAACCAAAGACAAAAUCUGCAAUUAGAGUCUUCUUUUUUUAUCUCCUAAACACUCAACAUAUAUAUGUGUACAGUACUACAGCCUCUUUUCUAAUUUGUUUUUAUCUUCUUCUUCCUCUUCAAUGGUGAUUUUUUUCUUUUUUCCCCCUUCCUUGGGAAACAAAUAGUCUCAACCAAACCCAGCACUUGCUUUGGUGGGCGCGCCCUGGUCGGCUUGGCUCAGUACCAUCCUAUAUACAGUGUCCCAACCAACCUUACUGUUUAGUUAUGUUGUUCUCUCCUCUUCACAUACAUUACAUGCACACAUCUCUCUCUCUCUCUGAUCAGUGCUACACCUGCAUCUUGAGACUGAGUCCCACAUGGUUUAAGCUCAUUCUUUGCUGGCAGCAAAUGUCACAGUAAUUUCCAUCUACUAUAUUGACCUAACCCUUACUGUAGCCAAAAAAAUCCAAAAUUUCUGCAAUUAUGCAAAUACUGUAAUGAGAUAAUAUUGAUUUUGAUUUAUAAUUUCAUCUAUCUUGAUGGGUUUCUUUCAGAAUCAGAAGGUACUUGCACAUAUCAUUAAUAUAUGCAAUUGUUCUUAAGUGAUGAGGUUCUUCUAUCAAAUAAGUAAAUAAAGAUUCUGAUACUUUCAUCUCUAGGACGUGGGCCAAUCACCAAUUUAUACAAAAAGUAGAGCAAAAACCUAUACAUGUAUAUUUACACAGCUGUUUCGUUGUUUAGAGUUAAUGCAAGUAGUAAAUACAAAGAAGAGAGCAAACGGAUGAUGAAGUUAAAUUUAACGCGAACUAUAGUACAUAGUAACCUGAGUACAUUGCCACUUGGAAACAUCUUUUGCUGCAAAACAACUUCCAGCAUUGCUAUUCCUACCCUUUUAUCAUCGUUUUUGAGUCUUGAAGAAUAGCUAAUGCUGGCCAAGUACCUGUUCCUUUCUAUAUAGAAUGUGGGACCCCAUUUGAUGUAUUUAAGGCAUUUUCAGAUUUUGACAAGCUGAGUUGAUAUCAGGGGCAGAGUAGGUUGGAGACAAAUUGGAGUGAUUUGGCCUUUCUUUCAUGACAUGGUAACCAAAAGAACAAUUAAUAUGUACACAGAUAUAGUACCAUGCAUUGCAUAAACUAUUAGGCAUUUCUCAGCUUCAUAAAGUUGAUGAACAGAUACUAAACUUUUCUUUCCAAAACAUUAUUAUGAUGCACGAUACAAUUUGGCAACCGAAUCACUUAAGUUCUAGUACUUGCAAUGCAAUGAUUGUCUUUGGAGUUCCAGUUUGGAGAUUUGGAUUUGUAAGAAUUUCAGAAUUACUCAUUUGGUUAUACGGUUAAUGGAUUAUGAUAAAUAUAUCAUUGAUUAAUUAAGAUCUGGGUUUUCUGUUCAACUAAUUAUGUAAUGAGUUGGUCCUUGUCAUGCAUUCUUUUUCUCUCUUCUCAAUUAUAUAAGUACUUGAAGAGCAAUUGAAAUUGGAUUAUUUAAGUGAUACAUAUUUUAAAUUUUAUAAUUAUCCUAUAUAUAUUACCUAUCUAAUUAUCUAAUACAAUGUCAAGAAAAAGUCUAAUAGAAUAAAUCAAUGAUUUUGAAUAAUGGAAAAGCAAGAAAAAGACCUCAGGCAUGCAUAUGGGGAAGCCAAGAAUCCAUGAAACCCAUGGAGAAAGGUAAAUCAUCUCUUCCAAAAAUAUGUUCAUUAAUUAUGGAAGAUUCGGCCAAAUUAAAAACCAACAUGCAUGUUCUUGGCAUGAAGUUGGUCUAUGGAUGAUCAACCUCUGCCAGGAAAAAUUCUAGAAUUUUGUUUUUCUUUUGGUUUUAUUUUAUGAGGUGUGUCUCCACUCUUUUCAGGUACCAAAAUAUUUUGUUUGGAUCGAAAAACUAUUACGGUAAAGACUUGCCAAGGAAUGACAAGUUAUUUUAGUAUUAAGGAAAGAAGAACUUUUGUUUGGUGGGAUUUAGCAUUAAGGAAACCAAUGUAGCAGUGGCUUUAUAAAGUGUGUUUAAAAUGGAUGAAAUAACAAUAUUAUACUCUAAAUUCCAACAGAAUAAAUAAGAAUUAAAAUACUGAAAGUAAUUAAAGAUUAAAAUAAAAAUGGAUCCACAUUCCUUUUCAAGUGUUGGGGAUUGGAGCAAAGGUGUGUAACCGGGAAUUUGGAAGUUGUGAGAAUUGAGACACAGUUUGAAUGCAUGGCCAACAUUAGUAGGAGACAGUAAAGUUGCAUCAAUUUUCGUCUCGUGGUUUUUUUAACCUUCCCACAGGAUCCUUCACACGGUACCAAGCAAUGAAAAUUCAUAUUGUAUUUCUUUUUUUAUAUUAUCUUGUUAAGGUCAAAAAAAGAAAACUUUUCAAAAGAGAUAAACUGUGAGAGUGAGAGUGAGAGUAUUUAAUUAAUUACUAAUUAGGUUUUGAGCUUUAUAAUAAUAAUAAUAAGAAGAAGAAGAAGAAGAAGGUAAUUAUCACUUAUUAACUUAACGACAGAGAUGCAUUCAGGAAUGGAUUGGUAUGUUAGAGCAGAUUUUGUGGAUGUGGCCUUGAAAUGUCCAAGACAACACGAGUGUGCUGUAUCGUAUCAGUUCAUUGAAGCUACUUUGCCUCCCCUCCCUGUCUUGUUAUAACAUUUUUAAGCAUCCGCCUCUAUUUUCUCAAUCCUCAUCACUAAUUUAUGUUUAUGUCUCUUCUUCAUUAUAUUAAUUCUAACUCUUUCUUUGGGAUUGCAAAUUUCAAUUAAGCUUAUUAUAAAUGUUUCUGAGAUUUCUCUCACUUGGACUGUGAUCCACAAAUACAUAUAUAUAUAUAUAUAUAUUUAUAUUGAAUAAUCAAUAUAAAUGUAUAACAUAUUCAUUUAUGUAUAUACUGCUUUAUUAAUUGGUGCUUUAAACGUGAAAUAAUAAAUAAAAUUUUAGAUUAGUAAUAAUGUGAAACAUCUAUAUUAAUAAACUAAAAAUUUAAUAAAAUUACUGUUGAGGACAGUGGCCCCCUAAUUCUGCCAUUGGCGAAAUUGAACUUUCACAGGUAAUAAAUAGCAGUAAAUCUAUAGCGGUGGCUGCUGAACUAAUGCGACUUAUUAAUUUCGUUGUGUUGGACACUCUUAUGUUUAGAAUAGUUUUUGUGUACUUGAGCUUUUAGGGUCUUUAUAAAUGGAAUAAAUUCAAACCCCUGUGAUAAUAAUGCUUCAAUUCAAUGGCUCUUCAUCAAUGAAAUCGUUAUUUAAAAAGAAAAAAAGAAAAAGAAAGAAAUCUAAGUAGCUAUGUUUAAUGAGCAAAUAAAAUUGUGAGGAUAAAAAAGAAAAGAAAAGAAAAAGAGAAGAUGGAAACAUGACAGCAGACACGUGGUGAACUGUCAGAAAAGGGAAAGAAGGAAUUGCAGAUAGGAAGAGCAGAGAAAAUGCAGUUUCUAACUGCAAUGAUUGAUUAACAGUUUGCUGUUCACUUCAUGACAUGACAUCCCUUUUCAUUUAUUGAACUCACUCUCUCUCUCUCUCUCUCUGCAUCUUCACUUCUUCACCUAUACACAAAAAUUCGAACAACGGCAGUGCCACUGAUGACAUCUUAGUUCACAGAAACAUUUUUCAAAUACAACUCCUGAUAUCUAUGUGCAUUAAGUAUGUAUGAAGAACUUCAUCAUCUAGACGUUACUAAUCCCAUAUACGAUAAGUAACCCAAAAUAAAAAUUAAAACAAAAACUCCUUUAUUUUCUUUACAUUUCCCAUUUGGGUCAAUGUAUCAGAAAACUGAUAGCUAAGAACUCUGGCUAAUUCUAUUUGGCCGGAGCACGAAAUAUAGGCGCCACAUGUUCAAAGUUGUCAUUUGCAUUCCAGGGAAAGUGACUUAAACUGCCCACCCAUACAAGUCCCGCUGUUUCUAUCAAAAUAGUAAGAUUGAGCUGAAUAUGGGUUUUGAUGAUUUUGUAACAUCAUAUUAUAGAAUAAGAGAUAGAAUUUAAUCAAUCAAAUUUACCUCAAAGAAGGUAACUUUGCUUUGGGCACAACGAAAUUGAACAAAGCUAACAAACGCAAAGAUAUUGGCCAAUCCAGGAUGAACUUGAUGGAUUUAGAAAUAUAUGCUCCAUUUUGUUGCAUCGGAGAUUCAUAAAAUGUUUCAUUAAUUAGUAUCUGCUGCUGGGGAAGUAAAUACGGCAACGUUCAUUAAUCCAAAAAUCGUUGGCUUAUUGGAGAUGAUAGUAAAUAAAAAAAAAAAAGCUGGAAGCAGAGAACGCUACACAAAUGACAAGGCCGUGAAACAUUAAUUGCACUGAAGGACAAAAUUAACACCCAACUAAAAAUACUGGGAUUGAAGGCCUUAAUUUCGGUGACCAACUCCAAAGUGAAACCUCUUUGCAUGCUUGUCAUUAAAUGCAUACUCAAGACGCAAAGGACCUAAAGGGGAGUCCACACGCAUUCCAAAGCCGUAUCCAUAUCCACUUCCAGGCUUCAGCCUCGCCCCAGCAGGAUCACCUAAUAAAGAACAAUGAUCAAGUUAUCGCAUAUGACGAGAACAAAACUAUUGAACUAUUAGGUAAAACAUGAAUGUCAGUUAGAAUUGUGCUUCCUUUUUCUUUUUUUGGGUGAUACCCAGAAAAGGGUAAUCCCCCAAAAAGGUUUCAAUGCAGUUUGAUGAAUUUAGCUAAAUCAAUUGAGCAACUGGAACUUGUCUAUACAGGCAAGCAGACUAUUCUUAUUUAAACUAAUAUCACAUGCUCUAUCUUGACUCAAUAUUCCUCCUUAAAUGAGCAAGAACAGAGCUAUCCUGCUUUGACUAUUAAUCUUUCAUAAUAUGCUAGUCGGAUGCAGCAGACAUUGUUAUUUCAGGUAGCUACUUGCUAAAACCUGCUAGAUAUAUGUAAAAGAGAGGAGUAUGCUCCUGAAAUUUGGACAGUGGACAUUUCAGAUCCAUGUGUCAUCCUGAUAUACACAAGACCUACCAGGUACUGUGGGUCCAGAUCCCAGGUCAGUUCCAUAGUCAGCAAAGAGAACUCCUUCCACCGGCCCCAUCUGCAAACCAAAUAAGAAGUAAAGAUCAUCAAGCAAACCAUGACCCCAAUACCACAUUAUAACAUAAUGUAAAAUGACCGCCGUGCAAGAAAAGGAUGCAAUCACUUACCAGAGGGAAAGAAAUUUCACCAGAGCCAACAGCAUAAGAUCUAGCAGAGCCCACAGCACCUUCUUCAUAUCCCCUCACACUAUUUGUACCUCCAAUGGCAAAUGCCUCGUGAGGAGAGAAAUUACCUACUACAUGGCCGCCAGACAAACUAGAAAAGAAAGCAAGAGAAAGAUAAAUGAGAUAAAUUUCACAAAAAUUUCAGCAUAAAUAAGAAUUCAGACGAGCAAAAUGUUUAUCUUUACUAUGAUACAGAAGAAAUGUCGCCACAGGGCUUCGGCAUUCUAAUGAGAGCAUGCAAAUUCAACAUUUUGACUUGAGGAUACUCUUCAAAGAUUUAAGCACCAAAAGAGAAGUUUCUAAAAUUUUUUUCGACCAAGAAGAAAAUUCUGCACACAGUUGCUUAGAUGACCAACAAGUAGGCAGUCUCUUUAGCAAGGAGGAUAGUUGAUUCAGAAGAUUAAGAAUGGCAGCAGCUAGGAUGAACCUUGUUAAGUAACCUCCUCAAAGAAACCUUCAGUUACAUAUGAAGAACUACUCGAGGAAGUGACCUCCUAAGGAAAAUAUAUAUUGGGAUGUAGCAUCUCACUUCGGAAGGAAGCUAAAAAAGAUCUUGCAUUGCUUGUCCAUUAUGUUACUAGUGAAUGCUCUGGCUAGUUGGACGCAUGAUGCAUCAUGUGGUAUGAUUCCUACUGAAAAAAAUUUGUAGUUGGGUUACCCAUCUAAAGUUUUAUAUUUUUAUUUCCAGAGCUCCUAUAAGCUAUUAAAUAUUUUCAUUUCAUCCCUUAGACCCUAAUCUGCCAACUCAUUUUCAAUCCAAACUUGAAUAUAAUUGCAUCUCAAACUUCUCUAAAAUUAUCUCUCGACUCGAAAUGGGAGCAGGUUUGUAAAAGGAUCUUAGAGUGUCUAAGGUGGGGCCAGGAGGGUCUGGUCUCUUAACGCCUUCUUUUUUCUUCUCAUGGUAAAAACAAAUUCUAAGGAAUCAAAAAAACUAAAAAACUGGAUCUAUAUCCAACGAAUCGCACCUACCAGGAAAAAGUAUUUUGUUUUGGUUCGAAUAAUUAUCAUAGCAUUUUUUAAAGUAUGAUAUCCAAACUGUGCUAAAUGCUCUGCCUAUUUGGAUCAAGAUGCAUCAUGUCAUGUGAUGCUGGGUUGCCCAUCUAAAGUUUAUAUGGUUACUCACAAAGCUCCUAUGCUAAAUUUACCCUCCAUCACAGGGGGAAAAAUUUACAUAUAGAUGCAAUACCUUAGAAGGAAUAGAGCAGGACCAAUUUCUACACCCUUUCUAGCACGAGCAUUUACUCUGUUGAAAAAGAGCCACUCAGGCCAAAGAGGAAGUCCUUGUUCCACAUUCAAUACAAACUGCAAAGAUAAAAAUGAUCCAUACAAAAUAUAUUAAGAACUAAAUGGUAGGAAUAUCCAAGUCUCAUUAAGUGAUGUUGGCAUAAGGGGGUUAGGGUCCUUAAUGACAAAUGACUAACCAUUGAAGAGCCAUGAUCACCAGAACCAGUAUAGACACUUUCAAAUUUAGCAAGAAGCAUGUUGUCAUGAGUCUUGCCACUGCACCACAAAAUAGGUAAACAAACAACAGCAAAUGAGAAGACAGGGACACUUGACUGGAAAAAAAAUUUAAUUAAGAACCAACAAAUCAUAGCACCCAAACUUUUAAGUUUCUUAGCCAUCUGCUAUCAGGCAUGUCUACCUUGCAGUAAGAGGGCUGCUAUAGUGAUCCUUAAUGAUCGGAUUUCCUUUCUCAUCAUGAGCGCCGGCAUGCUGUGAUUUUGAGAUCAAUAGAAGUAAACUAUACAGAUUAUACUUGGAGAGAGCCAGCAAGAAAUCUACUAAGCAAUAUGUUUCUCUUUUUGGUGAUUUCUUAAUUGUUAUCAAUGAGAAGAUAUCUAAAGAACUUUUCCUAAUUAUUAAUGCACUGAAGCUAAAUACCAAACUAUGCUAGUGAAGUACCUGAAAAAUAAGCCCAGCUGUUCCACUCCACUUUGGCCUAAGUGGUCGACUGAAUUCAACACCAGCUGUUACACGGCCAAUGGUAAGACUGCUAUUGCCAGGUUGGUAACUGUGCACAAGAUUCCCAGGGGUUCUUGAAUUCUAAUAAAGACAGGAUUAGUUCACAUGAUAAAGAAGCAUUCCUAUCACCAAGUGUAAUUUUCAAGACAAGAUAUGCAAAAACAAUUACCUGAACCAUUAUAGUUCUAGAUGUCCGUUUGUCGUCUCCUUGAAUCCAUGGGUCUGUAUAGUUUAUGCGAAAUAUUGAGUCAAUUUGGCCCCUCUCUAAGGAAAUAUUAAGCUUCUGAUUUCUUCCAAAAACAUUCCUGUGUGAAUAUGUGAAGCUGCAAGCGAAACAACAUUAUCUAUGAGAUAGCAUUCUCCCAAGUUGCAUUGUGUUUAUAUUGCAUGUAGCAGCUUAUGCAUCAUCGACCCUCCUAUCCUCGCCUCCUUUUUAUUUCUUCAAAAACUAAAGUUUUUCAUCAUCCGAUUGUUCACAAGCUUUUGAACUAAAGUAAGGGAAAGUCAAUGUUGGAAAGUGGAAAAAGAAAAAGAAAGGUAACAAAAAUGGGUAUAUGACAAGGGGUAUUAUUUCGGACAUGGUCUGAGCACAUGCAGAAACAAUUAAAAGUCAGGAUUGGAUGGCUGAAAGGUAUGGAGCAAUUCAACAAGCCCCUGGCACAACUUUGAAUUGGGAAGCAAGUAGAGAUAACAUCCCAAAAUGUAAAAUCUUCUAUACAUAGCAUUUUCCUUUUAAAGGAAAAAAGGUGAGAUGAGCAAUAAGUAAUGUCCAAACUUAAAUAUCAUGAAAAGAAACAAAACUAGAACAUGAAAAUUUAACAGGUUGCAUAUUGUGCAGAAAUACCUUCCUAUAAGUCCUGACAGGGGGCCACUUGUAAUCCUGGGAAUUGCAACAUAAUCAAUGUAUCAUGUUUCCGAUAUACCAGAUAUAACUUUACUACACAAAAAUUACGUGAAAGUAGCAUUGGCACCAGGGUCAUCUGAGUUAGCAUUACUCACCCGCUAGAUAUUCCACCACCAGCAGAGAAACCUCCACUUGGGCGUUCAACAACAUUCAUUACCAAAUCAACUUUACCAGUAUCUGAACACAGAGAGAAGAUGGGGGAAAAUCAAUUUCCAAAUGCAAGGUUAGAAGAUAAUAACGAAAGCAAAUGCAGUACCCAAGUUCUUUCACCUAAUAAAGCUAAAAAUUAUUUAGCAGUAUCUAAAACCAGAAGAAAGAGAAACUCUCUAGCAGCAAUAAAUCUCCUAUUGACAUCCAAGCGAUACGAUCUGAAUUUCAACAAAAAAUGGAUUCUAGUCCAUAUGAAGCAUGAUUCAUAAGUUUGUUAAAUAAAAGAUGUUUCACAAGCCACCAAAGAAAAAUGUCCUCCACUUUUUAAAUCUUUGAACAGCCAAAAAGGUCUUUUAAGCACUUAAUUUCAAGAAUCAAGCAUAUUGGUGGCAACAAUGGAGGAUAGUGCACAAUUUGCAAAUUCCAAUACUUUCAGGACUUUACUACAAUAGUAUUAACAAGUGCCUCCGUAUGCUCAAUGUUGCAGGACAAUCCAACAUGAAUAAAAUCACCUCCAGCAGGUUGAGGAAUGAUGCUAACAUCUUCCAUGAUUCCCAUGGUUAACACUGUAUCUACAUCUCGUUUCCCUUGAAGCAUGCUGUAGACCUACAAAGCAGUCACUAAAAAUGUCAAAACACUUUUUACUGGGUGUGCACCACUGGUUCAAAUGAAUGUUCAUCAAUAGGCCAUCUGAGUGCAAGUUGAUAAAAGCAAAGCUAAUAGCAGUAACAAAUUAAUUAACUGGAAAGAAUUUAUGAUACUGAAUUAUAGAGAAUAUAUAUUUAGUUGAAUUAAAAGGAGAAACUGCUAUUGGAAAAAAGGGUUAAAAUUUUUUUUAAAAGAAAAAAACUUUGGGUACAAAUACCAAGCCCCUUGCUCUGCAAAAGCUCAUAAAUAUAAUACAUGUAGAGACAUUUCUCAAAGUUAGAAUACUCAGUAGGACUUGUAACAAGACUGAAUGGCUACAUCAGGGCUUAGACCAGAAUUACCUGCCCCUUCUUAGUUGUAAGUUGUCUAAGUAUUGUUUCAGGUUUGGUCUUUCCUUUAGUUGGCUCGCCCCUGAAAAUAGCAAUAGAGCAUACAUCUUUUAUGAAUCAUAGCAUUAACUUUGUCAAAGACUCGAAGAGUGAUUGUCUGAGCAGAUUAACUUUGCUAUAGACUCCAAGAGCAGGCUCUUACGUUUUUCGAUCGAGGAAACGUAUGGAAAUGUUGUUCACUUCAGCUUCUGCAACUUGCAACCUUAAAAUACCCCCAGAUAGGAUCUCAACCCCUGAAACCUAAUGACAACAACAACAACAACAACAACAACAACAACAACAAAGAAUGUUUAAUACUAUAAAUCUUCAUCAACUAAAGGGUCUAGUAAGAACUAGAAUAGAUGGCCACAAGCACUAACCAAACCAAAAAGACCACGCUCCAUAUACCAGCCAUUAAUGGAAGUUAUCACAUCAUCCAAAUGCCUGAUAUUAACCACUUUUCCUGCACAGCUUGACAUCAAAAUUCAAAGCCAAUGAAGCUUGAUACAUAUAUAUCAUAAUUAUACAUUACGUUAGAAAAUCUAAAGAAAAAAAAGAAAAAGAAGCCUACCAUAUCCCUCACGGAAUGCGUCCUGUAGAAACUUUGUUGGAAGAACACUAGCACCUUCACAUACAAGUCCAUGAAACUCCUGGUUUGGUUCUACCUUAUGCCACAAGAGAAAGCAAUGUUAAUAAUUCCAUUGACAUGAUUAAAAAAUCUGCAUUCGCAACUAUUUUUGUACCAUACCUGAAAUACUAAUCGUAUGCCAUCACGAGUGUCAACAGCAACGGGCGUACAAGAGCAAAAGUAUCCACUAUCAAUUAUCCUAUGCACAUCUUCUUGAACCUCGCGAACAGUUAGGGCUGAGUUGGCACGGCAAGCUUUCAGUGCAGCUACGGCCUCUGCUUCCAGAUCCUUCCUCUCGAGCUCUUCGCCGUCUUUGUUCCUUACCAAUACUUCACUUAUCAAUACUCUCUCCUCAUCGUGUCUACUCCCUGAGAGACCGCCUCCGCUUCCCUUCUGUUGAGUCACUAUGUUUUCUGACUCGCCAGGUUGAGUCAACGACAAUGAAGCGGAGCAGAGGAUCGGCGACUGCGUAUGUGACUCGGAGAUGACUGUGUCUUUGGACUGAGGGAGUGAUAGUGAAGCGAAACAUAGAAGAGGUAAAGUAAGUUUCCGAGGUGAAUUUACAGAGCGAGAUAUAUGGAUUUUUGAGCGAGUUAUGAGUGAGUCGAUGAAAUUAGUGAAUGAGAUUUUAGUAUAUGAUAAUUGAGGAGCUUGCUGUUGCUGCUGAGGUGGAGGGAGAAGUGGAAUUUUGAGGGAAGAUGAAGUGAACCGAACGGUAUCGUUUUGUGGCAUCGUGAUAUUCAGCGACUGAAAGGAAUUGCAGAAGAAAGCGCCUCUACUCGAAUAUCAUCUGGGUUCCAAAGAAGGAGAUAAACCCUAGGUUUAGGUUUAGUUUUAGCUCGUCGGCUAGCACUGGCAGUAACCACUGACUGGCUUUGGUUUUUCCGGUUUCGUUUUUGGUAAAAGAGGAAGAGUUUUGAUUUGACCCGACCGGUUGUAUUAGGGGAACGGGUUAUAAAUACGGAUCAUAACUUUUCUUUACUUCAUGUUCGGUGUUUAUUCUGCAGCCCAACAACCAUUAUAGUAUAGGCCUAAAUCUGGCCCAAGUGUUUGAGCCAGGCUCUUUUGGGACAAAGGAAAGAUGAGCAAAUAGUCUCAAAUUGAACUUUUCUUCUUCUUCUUUUUUUUUUUUUUAUAAAUAAUUUUAGCCCUAAAUUUCUAUUUAGAGCUUAAUUCAAUCCAAAUUUGACAUCAAAUGCCUGAAAAAAGAGGUGGUUCAAAGUGUAUUUUUUUAUCUAAAAGAAAAAUAUAAUAAUUUUUUUUGCUAAACAAUGUAUUCUUCUCCGAAACAUACAUUUCAAAAUAAAUUGUUAGACAUUUCUUUUUUUGGUGCAAAGGUCAAACAAAAAAUAAAAUAACUAAAAAUAUAAAUUUCAGGUAUCCAAAAAUCCAUUAUGCUAAUGUAAGUCCAAUUAAGCUAAUGUAUUGCGAGUAUAAUGGGGAAAUUGAUCCCUUUUCCAAUAUAUUAUUUGGAGUGUCUCUCUUGCACUAUAAUAUAUAUAUAUAUAUAUAUACCUCCUCGACUUUCUCGCACGCAAAGGAGAUUGGGCAAAAGAUAAGAUGCAUUGCAGUGAAUGAUGAUGGGGAUGGAGAUGUGAAGUGGAUUACAAAAGCAAAUGAGAGCGUGGAAAAAGACAUUUAUGCCCCUUCAAUUGAAUAAUAAGAUAAAUAUAAAAAAUAAUGUCUGAGAUGGAAAUGUGUUGCCAUAUAAUUUUAGAUUCCUAGUGGUAGAAUUCAAUCAAAGGACACCACCAGGCAUCAAGCAUGAAAGUCCAAAUUCUCGAGCAUUCUUUAUUAUUAUUAAAUAUUUUUCAAAAAAUAUAUUAUAGAGAUUUUUCAUAUUAUAUUUGGUAAAUUUUAUUUUUUAAAUAUUUGUAAUCUUACAUUAAUUGGUCUAUUAAUUUUCCAAAAUAUCCUAAAUCUUUAUAUAUCAAUUCUUUUUGUCAUUACUUAUAUUCCAUUUUGGCUUAUACAUCUAUCUCAUGUUUUGACUAAGAUGCUUUUCUUAUGUUUUUUUGUUCAACUUAACAAAAUUAAAAGAAAUUAGUAUAGUAUUACAAAUCAAAAAAUAAUUUAAUACAAUAUUAAAAUGAUAUCCUCGUUAUUGUAACAUGAUAAAUCUCAAGAGAUAAAUUAUAAUUAGUUUAUAAUAAAUUAUAAAAAAAUAUUAGAAAAUAAAACUUAACGAUUUUGAUAUGUGCUAAACAUUAAAAUCUCUAUAGUCAUGCAAUCGAAACUAAAUAAAUUUUAAUAAUAAUAAAUAUAUUAUAAUUUAAUGAAAGUCUGAUUUUUUAAACUUAAUACUCAAUCUUAUCGGUGGCUAAUAGAAACCAAAAAUAAAAUAAUUAAAUAUCUCGUCAUAUUAUAUAAAUAAGAUUAAUGAGAUAAGAGAAAUAAUACAGCAUAUUAUAUAUAUAAAUAUUAGUAUAGAAAUAAUAUUUUAUUAAAAUAAAAAUUAAAAAUUUUAUAAUUUAUUGCAAUAAAAGAUAUAGAUUUAAAUAGAGAUUAGAUAAGCAAUUUCCAUUAAUAUUAAGGAAAUGACUAACUAAACCUAAUAUAAUCGAGUAAAACCAAAAGAAAGCCCUAGUGAUUAACGUCUAAACGGGUAGGGCCGAAGAGGGAAGAAGCAGAUUUGAUUUUGAUAAACAUCUGCCGCCACAGAAAUGAUGGGGUCACAUCUUUAAAAAGAGGGUGGGAACUGGAAACCAUAUAAGACGUUAACAUUUCAAAAAUUCAAAAAAACCCAUAUAAAGACACAAACCCUCCGUCUGAGAGGCAUUGGCAUCCCUGUCUCUUUCUCUUUUUGCGGUGGCUGACUUCUGACACAUCUCUUCCCCUUUCGAUCAUGCUGCAGGUUUCCUAAUUCAGGUUUUAUAAUCCCUAAUCCUGAAUUACAUUUUACAACAGAGAAAGCCCUAACAAAUCCUCUCUUUCUCCGCACACACUCUCUCUCCCUGGCACGUGCGACGAUUCUUUCCGUUGGUAUAUUCUCUCUUUAUAUCCAUCAUUGAGUCGAUGGUGCUUUGAGGUUUUACUUGCUAGUUUCUACCUUUAUUAUAUAGAUUAUGUUGUUAAAGGUUGUUUAGGUGUCUCCUGGCGUAUUGAAGUCCUAGUUAAUAAUAUUUUGUUAUUUUUUUGGCUUCUUGUCGUACAAGUUAAUGGUAUUUUCUCCGCUAAUUCUCGCCUAAAUUCUUGUAAAUCUGUAGAAUUGUAGUUUAGUUUUAUUGUCCGUUGAUUCGUUUCUAACCUUUUUGACUUUUGCCCUAUUCUGUUGUUUAGCAGCGAUGAAUCAAGCUAAUGGGAAGGAUGGCCUAAAGGCACCUCUACUGCAGCCUCCAGAUAAUGUAGCAAUUAGUGUUCCUAAACACAAGGAUGGCAGAGAUAAUAAUAAGGUUAAAACGAUUAAGCUCAAAAUUGGGGAAAUCAAGUGCACCUCUUGUGCAACAUCCGUAGAAUCCGUGCUUCAGGAGCUUAAUGGAGUUGACAGGGUUGUGGUAUCGCCCCUUGAUGGCCAUGCUGCUAUCUCUUACGUACCAGACCUCGUUACUGUAAGUUUUUCUGCUCGAACAACUUAUUCAACUUUUCAUUCAUGUUUAUUGCGCAUACAAAUUGGAGACUUUGUAUGAGUUCUUACUCGCCCCAUUGGUUCUUAUAUGUUUUUGUUUCUUUCUAGAAUUUUGUUAAUGUUUGUAAUCUAGAUAAAGUGCUGUUUGAGCUGGAUUUUGAUUUUGGAUUGUAGCUCAGCUUCUUUACUUGCUUACUUUUGUGUUGAAAAUCGGAGUUUGGAAUUUUCUUCUUUUAAUUUGUGUGGAUUCUUUUUAUCCUCGAGCAUAAAAGCAAUGAUGAAGUAAACUGUAUCAGGCUCAAAAUAUCAAGGAAAGCAUAGAAGCUGCAGGAUUUCCGGUUGAUGAAUUUCCAGAACAAGAAAUUUCAGUAUGCCGGCUGAGGAUUAAAGGAAUGGCAUGUACCAGCUGCUCUGAGUCUGUUGAACGUGCACUCCUUAUGGCUAAUGGAGUUAAAAAAGCAGUGGUUGGUCUAGCUCUAGAAGAAGCGAAGGUCCAUUUUGAUCCAAACCUCACUGAUACGGAUCAUAUCAUAGAAGCAGUAGAAGAUGCUGGCUUUGGGGCUGAGCUCAUUAGUUCUGGGCAUGAUGUGAACAAAGUACAUCUAAAGCUUGAAGGUAUUAAUAGCGUAGAAGAUGCUACUAUUGUGCAAUCCUCCCUUGAGUCAGCACGGGGUGUGAAUCAUGUCGAAAUGGACCUUGCAGAGCAUAAGAUAACAGUUAGCUAUGACCCAGAACUUAUAGGUCCAAGAUCCAUAAUAAAAUGCAUUGAAGAAGCUUCUGCAGGUCCCAAUGUUUACUGUGCAAACUUAUAUGUGCCUCCAAGGCGAAGAGAAACAGAACAGUUGCAAGAAACUCGGACAUAUAGAAACCAAUUUUUCUUGAGCUGCCUUUUCUCGAUUCCAGUGUUUCUGUUUUCCAUGGUACUUCCUAUGCUUCAUUCUUAUGGUAAUUGGCUAGAGUAUAGGAUUCAAAACAUGCUCACUUUUGGGAUGCUUCUUAGGUGGAUCCUCUGCACACCUGUGCAGUUCAUAGUUGGCAGAAGGUACUAAAUAGACACCACUUAUGCUACCUUAUUAUCAUCUUCACUCUUAUGUCAUAUGUGAAUUGUUUAUGUUUGUUAUUGAGAAGAACAAUUACAUACCAAGUUUUUUUUUUUUUUUGAGAAACCCAUAAUGUCCUCUUCAGGUUUUAUAUGGGAGCAUAUCAUGCAUUGCGACGGAAAUCUGCCAAUAUGGAUGUUUUGGUUGCACUGGGCACCAAUGCUGCUUAUUUCUAUUCUGUAUAUAUAGUAAUUAAAGCAAUUACUUCAGAUAAAUUUGAGGGACAAGAUUUCUUUGAGACAAGCGCCAUGCUGAUAUCCUUUAUCCUUUUGGGGAAGUAUUUGGAGGUUCUUGCAAAAGGGAAGACAUCGGAUGCUUUAGCAAAGUUGACAGAACUUUCUCCUGAUACAGCUCAUCUGCUGACACUGGAUACUGAUGGAAAUGUUGUCUCAGAGAUGGACAUCAGCACUGAACUUAUAGAAAGGAAUGAUAUAAUAAAGAUUGUUCCAGGGGAAAAAGUUCCUGUUGAUGGAAUUGUCGCAGAUGGUCAAAGCCAUGUGAAUGAAAGUAUGAUCACUGGUGAGGCAAGACCCGUUGCUAAAAAACCUGGUGACAAGGUAUCAUUUGGGUUUACAAACUUUUUACAUGGUACAUUUGGUGAAUAAUACAAUGUUAAAUGGGAUCUGUUUAUAUUGUUCUUUCCCCCACCACUUCUAUGCCAUUAACAGGUAAUUGGUGGGACCAUGAAUGAGAAUGGAUGCUUACUAGUUAAGGCUACUCAUGUUGGGUCUGAGACUGCACUGUCCCAAAUUGUUCAACUUGUUGAAGCUGCUCAGCUUGCCAGGGCCCCAGUUCAGAAACUAGCCGACCAAAUCUCCAAGUUUUUCGUUCCUGCAGUUAGUAUAUACAUCCUUCAUCUUGAUUUUAGCCAGGUUUUAUAUAUGAUACCAGGUUUCACUUGUCUAUUAACAUUCAAUAGUAUUCUAUAUCUUCAGUUGAUGGAAAAUCAAGUAUGUUAGAAUUGCAGACUUAGUCCUUUCUGACCAUGAUCUUACACGACUAUACUUUUCUUAAGUUGCUGAUAAUUUCUGAAUCCACUUCAGGUCGUUAUAGCAGCCUUUAUAACAUGGCUGGGGUGGUUUAUUCCUGGAGAAGCUGGUCUUUAUCCUAGACAUUGGAUACCAAAAGCCAUGGACAGUUUUGAGCUUGCACUGCAGUUUGGUAUUUCAGUACUGGUGGUUGCAUGUCCCUGUGCCCUAGGGCUAGCAACACCAACAGCAGUCAUGGUUGCCACCGGCAAGGGUGCUUCUCAAGGUGUACUUAUCAAAGGUGGAAAUGCCCUGGAAAAAGCACACAAGGUAUGUUUUCUGUCUCUGUUUAAAAUUUAUACUCUGUUAGCUGAAUUUGGUUUUUACUAAGUGGCUUUUGUUCACAUAUUUAUUGAAGUUUAUUUUAACUAGUUUUGCUUUCUAAGGACACCAUCUCUCUGCUAUUCAGUUCUAGAGAAAAAGAGUCUGUAGCAAAAUUUGUGUCCAAUUGAGAUGAAUGGAGCUUGCCUGAAAAUCAAGAACAUAUAUUAAGUCAAAAUAGUUCUCUGAUCCUCAAGAGGAUACUGCAGUCAUUAACAGUUCAGAUUUUCAAUGAGGUUCUCAAGUUUGAAUCUUGAUAGAGUAAAAGGUAGCACAGAGAGCUGCUCCUUGUGUGAUAACUCACCAAUAACCCCAACAAGUAGUUGCUGCCUUUAUCAUUGUAUUUAAUUAUUAGUAUUUUAAUGCUGUUACAGAAGUGACACUCGUGCAUGCUCAUUCUCGUUAUAUUAGCUAAUUUCUCAUUUAUAUUAUAUUAAGCUAUUAGUAGUCCCAUCAAAUUGUUAUUGUAAUAGUGGCGACAGUUUUCAUAUUAAGAAGGCACUGAUUUGUUAGUUUGCAUCUCUUACAUGAGACUAAUUGAACCUUUAUAUACAUGUUGAUUUGCUUUGUGGAUGAUUAAUAUCUAAAUGUAACUGUGUUCUUUCUUUCCUGCAGGUGAAAACCGUUGUCUUUGACAAGACAGGGACAUUAACAAUUGGAAAACCAGUAGUAGUUAGUGCUGUGCUCUUUUCCAGCUUCUCAAUGGAGGAAUUCUGUGACAUGGUUACUGCUGCCGAGGUGGGUAUUUAUAUUGUGAUCAAUGAUCUUACGUUUAAAAAGUAGGUUGAAUACUCACAAGGCAAAGUGGAAAUAAAAUCCACUUAUUAUUUUUAUGAGUUCCUGCUACUACUAGGGCAAUGAAGAUAAAUUUUGAGCUUUUCUUUUUCCUCAGGCUAAUAGUGAACAUCCAAUAGCAAAAGCUGUGGUGGAGCAUGUUAAAAGACUACGUCAGAAGAUUGGGUUUAACACAGAACAUAUUGCAGAGGCUAAGGACUUUGAGGUGCACACUGGGACUGGGGUGAGUGGGAAAGUGGGUGACAGAACAGUUUUGGUUGGGAAUAAGAGGCUCAUGCAGGCUUGGAAUGUCAUAGUAGGUCACGAAGUUGAGAACUAUAUUUCAGAAAAUGAGCAAUUGGCUAGAACAUGUGUGCUAGCUGCUAUUGAUGGAAAAAUUGCAGGAGCUUUUGCGGUGACUGAUCCAGUAAAGCCAGAGGCCAAGCGUGUCAUCUCCUUUCUUCAUUCCAUGGGCAUCUCAGCCAUCAUGGUGACUGGUGAUAACUGGGCUACAGCAGCUGCUAUCGCCAAAGAGGUUGGAAUUGAGAAGGUGUUUGCUGAGACCGAUCCACUGGGAAAGGCUGAUAGGAUCAAAGACUUGCAGGUACUUACUUUUGUAUUUUUUUUUUUUUUAAAAACUAGUACAUAAAUAAACAAUUGAAUUGACUAUUGGACUUCCAACUGAUUGCUCCAGUACUAAUAAUGUGAAAAACAUUUGAGCUAAUUACAGGGAAAAGGUAUGACUGUAGCAAUGGUGGGAGAUGGAAUAAAUGACUCGCCAGCCUUGGUUGCAGCUGAUGUUGGCUUGGCAAUUGGUGCUGGCACUGAUGUAGCUAUAGAAGCUGCUGAUAUAGUUCUCAUCAAAAGCAACUUAGAAGAUGUAGUUACAGCCAUAGAUCUAUCUAGAAAGACCAUUCAGCGGAUUCGACUAAAUUACGUAUGGGCCCUUGGUUAUAACAUACUUGGCAUGCCUAUUGCUGCUGGAAUCCUGUACCCGUUCACUGGAAUCCGGCUCCCACCUUGGCUGGCUGGUGGUUGCAUGGCUGCUUCAUCACUUAGUGUGGUUUGUUCUUCACUAUUAUUGCAGUCGUAUAAGAAACCUUUGCAUGUUAGAGAUUGUUGAGGGCAGAUUGAUUGUAGACCAUCAUCAUUCUUGUAGCAAAAUUAAGUUUUUAAGCUCUCAGUGCUGUAAUUGGGAACAUGUGCAUCUGUAUAUGCACUAGUCCAUGUAAUAAUGUAGACUAUGACUUCAUCGAGUAAACAAACUCGACGAGUCAUGCAGUGGUUAUAUGAGGAGGAUUAUGCAUCUCGCUUGCUUGGAUUAUAGGGACUCCCAUUUUAGACAGAAUGGAAUUGACAGGAAGCUUAUAUUCCUAACAGCUUCCCAAAUAAAAACUCUGAUCUUUUCAGGAAUAAGAGAUUUCCAAAAGUAACGACAACUUGAAUCUUUAUAUGAUACAUUAAUUUGUCUAAGCACUUGGAUCCGAGUUUAUUUUUUUGGCUAGUUGCAGCCGUCGGCAUGGCAACUAGUGGUGCAGUUGCUGAUGUGGUAACAAAACUAGCCUAUACAGUUCUUGUGUAUAAUUGUCCCUUUUUAUUAAUCUUUUUUCUUAAAAAUUUGUGAGAUCUAAAUUUUCAUUUCUAAGUUUUAGAAAAAUAUUUUACAUUAAAUAUAGAUUAAUAAAUUUAUUAAUUUCUUUCAUAAUAAAAUUUAUUUCAAUCAAACACAAUUUUAACAGAUUAACAUCUUAAAACAUUAUACUUAACGAUUGCCUAAUAAUUAUAGAUUAUCAUCUAAUUGGUAUAUUUCUUGGUCUUUUUUAACAUAUUUAUUCAAUUAUUUUAUUUACUGCUUUUAUAUAUUAAUAAAAUAUAACAAUUUUCUUACAUAAAUAUAUAUAAUUUUGAUAAAAAUAAAAAUUUAAAAGUUACCUAUUCAAAGCAAUAGGUUGAGGACCAAUAGGAUAGAGUGAAAGAGUAAAAUAAAUAUAAAAAAAAUCUUAUUUAACUCAUAUACAUCCUAAUAAAAGAAUUAUAAAUAAAAUAUAUGUGUAUUUUAUAUUUUAAUAUUAAAUAUUGAUAAAUAUUUUAUUAUUUAAAAUUAAUAAAUAUAUUAUUUUAAUUAUAUAUAAAUUUAAUAAGAGUAAAGAAUUUUUAAUUAAAAACAAUAAAUUUGAGGAGGGAAUUGAGAAAGUACCGUACCUGUGAUAACAGCACUCUCAAGGACGACAAGCAGCUCGACACGUAGUUUAUCUUAGAACAGCCUCUCUUUCUUUCUUCUUGAAAUUAAUUUCAGCAAAAACUCUGUCAUAGUCUUUGUCCUUGUCUUUGUUUUUCUCUCACACGGUGAAAUAAUUUCUCUCUGGAUCAUUAAAAAGGUAAGCUAGAAAUAUGUUCUCUUUAUCUGAAAGUUUUAAGUUCUUACUAUUUUUAGCUUUGGAUCAUUGCAUUGAUCAGUCUUUUGUUUAAUUUAUUAGGGAAGUUUCAAUCUUUACUUCCAAGAAUCUGUAAAAACUCUUGAAUUAAUUACUGGGUCUUGCUGGGACUCUUGGUUUGACUUCAAUCAUCAAGGUGGGUACAUUCAGUUUCCAAGUUUAAGAAUCAUGAUAUAUAAGUUUGGGUUAUGCUUUUGGAUGAUUUACAACUUAGUUCAAUCUGUAUUGGGUUUAUAGGAUUCUUUGGGAUUUUGAUUGUAUGACGAAAAUGGAGGACAGUGUAAUUCUGUUUUAUUUUUAUUUUUAGUUUCAAAUGAUGAAGAUAUUUGUUCAGAUGCUUCAGGUACUUACAUUAGGUUUAGUUAAGUGGAUUUGUUGGUUCUUGAACAUUGGAAUAUGAGUAAUACGAGCUUCUAGAUGUUUACUCCCCCGUUUCUUCUCAGCCAUUGAUCAACCCUAGGGUUUUGGAAAUUAGAAUUAGGGAAUCACUUUAUUGACAUAUGGAUGCUUCAGGUUUGGGAGGUCAGUUUUUGUCAAGUCCAGUUGGUGGGUUAUUAGACCUUGAGUCACCAAUUCAUAGACAGCAGCAGGCCCAGUCAGGUCACUCCUCAUUAGCACAUCAACGCCACAUGAACUUAAUUAGUGGCCUUGGUAAUGAUCAUCAACCAAUUGGGCUAAUGGAAGUGAAAGGUUCAAGUCCAAGAAAUUAUUCAACGAAUUUAAGUAAAGGGAAAGGAGUUAGCCACUUUAGUCCCACAAAUGAUGGCAAUGUGAGUGAAGAUGAUGAGCCGAGUUUUACGGAAGAUGGGAAUGGUGAUAAUUCCAGUGGGGCUAAGAGUAAAAAGGGAUCUCCAUGGCAGCGGAUGAAAUGGACAGAUAAUGUGGUUAGGCUUCUUAUAGCAGUGGUUGCUUGUGUGGGUGAUGAUGGUGCAUUUGAUGGUGUUGAGGGGCUUAAGAGAAAAUCUGGGAUUUUGCAGAAGAAGGGCAAGUGGAAAACAGUAUCAAAGAUCCUGAUCAGUAAGGGUUGUCAUGUUUCUCCACAACAGAGUGAGGAUAAGUUUAAUGAUCUCAAUAAGAGGUACAAGAGAUUAAAUGACAUUCUUGGAAGAGGUACUAGUUGUAGAGUGGUGGAGAACCCUGCUCUUAUGGACUCAAUGCCGCUUUCAGCCAAGGCAAAAGAAGAUGUUAGGAAGAUAUUGAGCUCAAAACAUCUGUUUUAUAAGGAAAUGUGCGCUUACCAUAAUGGGCAAAUGAUACCCAAUUGCCAAGAUCUUGAUCUACAAGGCUUUUCAUUACCUCUUGAAAGGUGCUCAAGAGACAAUAAUGGCUCAGAGGAGGAGGAAGCUGAGGGACAUGAUGACAGUGAUGAGGAUGAAUCAGACAACGAAGAUGAUAAUAAUGCUAUAGAGGAAGGGGAAAGGAUGGGUAUGUAUGCUGAGAGGAAUAAAGUAAAUGAAGAGGAUGCCCAUCUUUGGCCUCAGUCAGGUGGGUGCAACAGCUUUGAGGUUGAAAUGGCUGGGAUUUUUCAAGACCCGUCGGUGUCAUUAUGGGAGAAAAAAGAAUGGAUAAAUAAACAGAAGUUGCAGCUGCUGGAGCAAAGAGUUAGCAUCCAGGCUCAAGCAUUUGAGCUUGAGAAGCAACGCUUCAAGUGGUUGAGAUACUGCAGCAAGAAAGAUAAGGAAUUUGAGAAGUUGAGGCUGGAAAAUGAGAGGAUGAGACUAGAGAACGAGCAAAGUGUAUUGCAACUAAGACAGAAGCAACUGGAAAUGGAUUUGAGGAGCUCAGAAUCAUCCAGGGACCCCACUUCGCUUGGUAUUGACAGACUGCAAGGAAGAGAUCAAAUUGAUUUGGGAAGGCAUCAAUAACUUAUUUAAAAACUGACAAUCCACUCCAAAUAUCUUGUAUGAUUGUCCCUCUAUAAAACUCCUUUAGCUUUACAUGUAUGGAGUAACUAACCUUGUGUACCACAUGUAUCACUUUAGAUUAAUCUUAGGAGAGUCUAUUAACGUGUUUAUUUGAGCUUUUUGAGAUGAAGUUGGAAAGUUUAAUGCUGCAGAUUUCUAGUAAUCUUCUUGAUUUCCCCUCUUCCACUUGUUUCCCCAGAAGCUUAUGGAGCAGAAAUACACCUUAGACCCCUCCAUAGGCUACUUCUUUCAGGCAUAAUACUUUGCUUAUACUGUGGCAGAUAUUGCUUACAUGCGAGUUGCACUUUUCAGUCAGUGUAUGUUUAUUAUUUUUUUUGUUAAUUGAGUAGAUAUAUGCUUUCAGCAGCUUCCCUUAGGGGACUGAGAAUACCUACAUAGUUCAGUUUGAUUUUCUCCUCUUCGAUUGAAUUUGCUCUCCAUGCUUGAGUUGAUAGUGAGUUUGUAGUUUUUGGAGAUUGGUUUUACUUUGUCGUCCUGAAGCAACAGGAAUAGCUCCUUAAAUGACAUCUUCUUCUUUCCCAUUAUCAGGAGGAAAAGUUAUGCAAUCAUACUUGUGUCCCUGAUUGGUUGUUUGAAAUACUUUCUGUAGAGGCCGUUCAAUUUGCAAGUCAGACAUCAUAUAUAGGAGGAAUUGCAAUGUAUCACGUAUCUGAAUUAUUAAUUUUCUCUUCGGCUGUGAAGAUGUUUCCCUACCAGUUUCAUUUUCCUUAAUUAAUAAUUUAAGUUGAUUCAUUGAAUCUGGAAGCAGAGGAUUGAUUGAUUUGAGCUAUUCUUUUGAAUAAUGUGGCUGGUUCAAUCUUCUGGAAAGGCAGUAAUGGUCGCAUGUCUAACUAGAUACAUUUGACUAUUUGAUAGCUCUCGUAGAUUGAUUUCUCAUUUUAAUAUUUGCAGCUGUUUCUUUUUUCUUUUGUUUUUUAAAAAUCAUAUAUUUAUAAGUAGUUAAUUCUGACAUUUGGUAUAUAAAUUCAGUGAGACAGCAGGCCAAUGAGAGUUCUCUAAACUUAAUAAAGUUGUAAAUUUUAUUUUCGGAAAAUGCAAAAGUUUUCUCCAAAUGUUGCCCGUAAGUAAGCCACUCAAAUUUAGAUACUAGCUAGUUGCCCCAGUUUGACCUAUUUGAAAUACAACCUACCUGGAAAUACAACUGCUCAUAAAAGAAGAAAUGUCAAAGUUUCCAAAUAUAAAACUCAUAUCAUAUCAUGCAGCUGCUGUUAGAUCAGAUGUAAAUAACGUUCAACGAGCAAUUAAUAAUCCUAUAACCGUCUCGCUUGAUUCUGUUCCUGGGCUCUUGGUUGUGACAAGCAAAUGGCUGAUAGGCACCGUCACCAGUACCAGUAUGGGGGCUUUCAAAGCCCGGCUCUGCAUCAAGGCCAGUUUGCAUAUAGUAAGUACUGCAAUCCAGGAUUGCAGUGUCCUACAACUAGGACAUGCCAAGCUUCCCCUGAUCUUUCAGUGCUUGUUCAAGCCCCAUCAGAGAAAGGGCUAGCAGGAUUUGCUGUAGAUUUUGUUAUGGGUGGAGUUUCCGCAACUGUGUCCAAAACUGCUGCAGCGCCGAUUGAGCGUGUGAAGCUCUUGAUUCAAAACCAAAACGAAAUGAUUAAAGCUGGUAGACUUUCUGAACCCUAUAAAGGAAUUGGAGAUUGUUUCAGCCGAACAGUCAAAGAUGAGGGUUUUCUUUCAUUAUGGAGAGGCAACACGACAAAUAUCAUCCGUUACUUGCCCACUCAGGUUUAUUUUCUCUUUGAUUCUCUGCAAAUUCCUCGUAAUUAUUUACAUUUUUUACUCUCCUAUCUAGCUAAGUAUAUUGUUUUUCUUACAGGCAUUUAACUUCGCAUUCAAAGAUUACUUUAAAAGGCUUUUCAACUUUAAGAAGGAUAGAGAUGGCUACUGGAAGUGGUUUGCUGGUAACUUGGCAUCAGGUGGUGCUGCUGGUGCCUCUUCUCUGCUCCUGACCUAUCCUUUGGAUUAUGCAAGAACUCGUCUCGCAAAUGACGGCAAAGCUGUAAAGAAGGGAGGGGAGAGGCAAUUCAAUGGUUUGAUUGAUGUCUACAGGAAGACUGUGCAAUCAGAUGGUGUUGCUGGGCUUUACCGUGGAUUUAACAUUUCAUGUGUUGGCAUCAUUAUAUACCGUGGUCUUUAUUUUGGAAUGUAUGAUUCUCUGAAGCCAGUAGUCCUGACAGGCAAGCUCCAGGUUAGUACAUAAUGUUUCUCCUUUUUCUGAUACUUGGAAAAUCUUUAAGGGUUACGAGUGGAGCUGUCACUCUUUGAACCCUUGAUUUCUUGUAUUAUGAGGCAGGCACUCGAUACUGAGCUCUCGUUCUUGAUCUUUCGAUGAUUUCAGGAUAAUUUCAUGGCUAGCUUUGCCCUUGGUUGGGUAGUGACAAAUGGUGCUUCUCUUGCUUCCUACCCAAUUGACACCGUUCGCAGAAGAAUGAUGAUGACAUCAGGUGAAGCUGUUAAGUACAAGAACUCAAUGGAUGCAUUAUCUCAGAUCCUGAAGAACGAAGGGGCUAAAUCACUGUUCAGGGGUGGUGGUGCAAACAUCCUCCGUGCAGUUGCUGGUGCUGGUGUUCUUUCUGGGUAUGACAAGCUUCAGGUUCUUGUGUUAGGAAAGGCUUAUGGUUCUGGUGGGGCCUAAAGGCUUAACUUCUGUCAAUCUUUUCCAGUUUAUGUAGCUAUAGAUGAUGAUGAAAAUCUUGCUGUUCGGAUUUUUUAGAAUUUAUUUGGUGUGAUUCUUUACUCAAUAAAACAAAAAUCAUUAUGUAGUGAAUGUUUUUUAUACCCCUUUUCAGGGUUUUAUUCCUGCAAAAUUCCAUUUAUUUUUUAAUAUAUAUAUGCAAUUCUUUUAAAGUAUUAUUAUUAUUAUGCUAAUUCCUAUAUAGAAAAACAUGUCUACUUUACUUGUGAUAUCACUGAGAAGUUAAAUUCUUGUUAACUUAAGAUACCAUCCCUCUAAUUAAACAUCAUAAUUGCUUAAGGAAAUCAAAUUAUUUCUAAAUAAUUUUAUGCAUAUCUUUAUAUUUAUAAAGAAUACGAUUUAAAAGAAUAUAUAUAUAUAUAUAUAUAUAUAUAUAUUUUAAUUUUUCAUAUUUUAAAAAAUAUCACACAUAUUUAACUCGAGCCUAUCGCACUUUAAAAAAAUAAAAAUAAAAAAAAUAAAUCAUAAUUAAUUUUUUUACAUUGAAAAAUAGAUAUUUUAUUAUUAAAUCAUUGAGUUAAUAAUAAUCAGUGCUUCCAAAAAAUUUAAUAGAUUUAUUUACAUUCUAUAGAAGUAAAAAUAAAUUAAAAGUUGAGGAUUCAGUUGCAGACAUUGUUUGUUAGAGGACUGCAUAGAAAUUUGAGAGAGAAAGCAAGAUGGCUAGCCUAGAUUUGAAAGUGCAGCCCUUUUUCUUUCUUUCUUUUUUUCCCUCUCAGGCUUUAUAUUAUUAUAUUCAUCCGUUCGCUGUUGAAUAGCACCGUUCCUCAUUUCUCUCUGACCACUCUCACAUAGAAAAAGGGUAACCUUCUUUGUCUUUUUUUGUUUUUGGUGUUGCUGAUACUUCGCAAUUUGAAUUUAAUUUUAAUGUCUUGUUUGUUCUUAACAUCCAACACUUGAUUGUCUCUUGUUAUAUAUCUAACCCUUUUCACGCUUUUAUUAAUUUCUCUCUUGGAUCUGUUAUUCUCUCUCUCUUCUUCUUUUUCUUUUCCUCAAAGGAUCAUUUUUUGUUUUUUUUUUUUUCACAGAAAAGGUUAGUAUGUUUUAUUGCGUAUUUUCUUUGUUCCUGAUAUUGGAACUUUUAAUCCACGAAUCUAAGUGGUUGUUCUUGUCGUUAUUUCUUUGCAUUUAAUGUUUACAUUAGCGUUAUGUCAGGGAUUGCUCUGGAUGACAUUGAUUCCCUCACGAUUGAUUAUAUACAAUGGAGUUGUUAAUAAUGUUGAUUUCAUUCUGGAGACUCAAUUUUUGCUCAUAAAGCACAGUUUUUUCUUUUCCCCUUUUUGAAAUUUAUACCGACAUUGCUGUUGUUUAAUGACUUUUGAUAUAAUAAUUAGUUUAUUUAUCGUAUUUCAUUUUGAAAUAUUUGUUCUCCAUUCGUGACCCAAGACUUCUUUUCUUUUUUUAAUUCUGCAAUUUAGGCGAGACAUUUCUUAUAUAUUUACAUUUUGUUCAAAAUGGAAGGUUAUGAGUUGUUCUUUUAUCUUCUAGCAUAUAUUCCUUCUAUUUUGUUUGAUGGUGCCUGCUUCUCUAAUCUAAUAACUGAAGAAUCAUGGUAAGAGCCAUACUAGUUUGAUCACUUUCUUGGGAGGAUAAAUAGAUGUCUUUUCUAUCAUUAGAAAGAUAUGAAGUACAAUUUUUUUAUCAAUACUUGGAAUGCCGUUCUUGCAGCAUGAUUUUACUUUUUCCGUUGUAUGGAGAAAUGCUAUUCAACAACUUUAACAAUUAUUUCAUUUACUUUAAAUUAUUCUCUCUCAGAAUACCAAGUUUGUUUGGCAAUGCUUGCAGAAUUCCAUAAUUGAGAAGAAAUGGCUGAUAGGCACCAGUACCCAUCUCUCAUGCAGAAGGUGGCCAGCCAGAUCCAUCUUAGUUCUAGCCUAUCCCAUGAUGUUCAAUAUCGAUAUGGGGGCUCUCAAAGCCCUGCCCUACACCAGAGGCAGUUUACACAUGGGAAUUACUGCAAUGCAGCAUUCCAGUACCCUAUGACUAGGGCAUGUGAAGCCUCCCCUGAUCUACCAUUGAUUGCAUCAACUGCGUCACCAGUUUUUGUUCAAGCUCCAUCGGAGAAAGGGUUUGCUAGCUUUGCUACAGAUUUUCUUAUGGGUGGAGUUUCUGCAGCUGUGUCCAAAACUGCUGCAGCUCCAAUAGAGCGUGUGAAGCUCUUGAUCCAAAACCAAGAUGAAAUGAUCAAGGCUGGUCGUCUCUCUGAACCCUACAAGGGAAUAGGAGAUUGUUUCAGCCGAACAAUCGAAGAUGAGGGAAUGAUGUCAUUGUGGAGAGGGAACACAGCCAAUGUGAUCCGUUAUUUCCCCACUCAGGUCUGCUGUUUCUUCUUUUGCAAAUACUUCACUUAGCCAUCACCUUUUUUUUUUUUUUUCAUGAGUUCUAAUCUCUCUUUUGCCUAUCAACUUGAUGAUUUCUCCUCCAGGCCUUGAACUUUGCAUUCAAGGAUUACUUUAAGAGGCUUUUCAACUUUAGGAAGGACCGUGAUGGCUACUGGAAGUGGUUUGUUGGUAACCUGGCAUCAGGUGGUGCUGCGGGUGCCUCUUCCCUACUCUUUGUCUAUUCUUUGGAUUAUGCUAGAACCCGUCUUGCAAAUGAUGCUAAAGCUGCCAAGAAGGGAGGGGGGAGGCAAUUUAAUGGCUUGGUUGAUGUCUACAGGAAGACCCUGCAAUCAGAUGGCGUCGCUGGGCUUUACCGUGGAUUUAACAUUUCAUGCUUUGGCAUCAUUGUAUACCGUGGUCUGUAUUUCGGAAUGUAUGAUUCUUUGAAGCCAGUUGUCCUUACUGGAAAGUUGCAGGUCAGUACAUUUUUGUCUCGCGUUUGCAUUUUUCUCAUUACCUUUUACAGUUGAAUAUCUUUGUUAGAUAAAAGAAUUUCUCAUGCUCUGUUAUGAUGAUUUCAGGAUAGUUUCUUUGCUAGCUUCGCCCUUGGUUGGGUUAUCACCAACGGUGCUGGUCUUGCCUCAUACCCGAUUGACACCGUCCGCAGAAGAAUGAUGAUGACAUCAGGUGAAGCUGUCAAGUACAAAAACUCACUUGAAGCAUUCUCCGUGAUCCUUAAGAACGAGGGAGCCAAGUCCCUCUUCAAGGGUGCUGGUGCAAAUAUCCUCCGAGCAGUUGCUGGUGCUGGUGUGCUAGCCGGAUAUGACAAGCUUCAGGUGAUUCUGUUGGGAAAGAAGUAUGGUUCUGGUGGGGCAUAAUUGAGACUCGAUCUCCUCACAUUACACAGCCACAAAUGGUGAUGGAAAUUUUGCAGUCAUCAACAAUUUAAUUAGGCUGAUUCUUUACUCAUUUAAAAUAAACCUAGUCUAAGGAGUUGGAAUGUUAUUUGGCUUUUCAUGCAAUUUAUAUUCCUGCGAUAGCUCACUUGUCAUUAAUUUUUAUAAUACAUACAUAUAUUAAUCCACUUAUUACUUUUCUUAUUGAAUUAUGUGAAGAGAAAAAUUAUCAAAGCUUUAAGCAUGAAGUCCAUGAACGACUCGGCAAGGAACUUCUUUUUCUGCUAUACAUGCUCAACAAGGAAGAUCAGCAGCCUCUGCAUCACUUAACAAAUUUACCAUAUUCGUCCAAGUAAUAGAAUAGGACCCACUUAAAUUUGAUAUUUAGUAAUUCUAUUGAUUAAUAAAUUUUAUAAGGAAUCAUCCCAUAUUAAAUAUUUUAUUGUUCAAUAAUUAAUUAUUCUUUAAACAAACUCUUUUAAUAUUAUUAAUCUCUCACAUAUUACCUGUUGUAAGUAAAUAAAUAAAUAAACUAAUAUUGCACUAAAUCAUAGCUUCUUUUUUUCUUUUAUUCAUUUCAGAAAGAAAGUUAGAGGAUGAAUGAAUAAAACAAAUACAACUACUAUUGGUGCAAAUAAAUAUCGAAAGUUUUUUUAGAGUAUGAUUUUCUUUUCUUGGUUGAUUUGAAUAUAUUGGUCUCACUUUUGUUUUAUAGUUUCAAUCUGUUAAAAUUUAACAAAUUAAUAUUUAUAAUAUUUAGCAGUUUCUUAAUCUAACAAAUAUAUUAAUUAUAUGAGGGUACACCAGCUAGCAAUUCUUUACCAUACUGGGUCAUGUAACGAGUACAAGGCAGGAAAAUUGUAUUUGGAAAACGACAACGUUUAAUCUCCGCCGUAGGCUCACAACUGCCACGUAUUCCCGCCUUAAAGAUAUUGAUGGGUGACGAGGAUCAAAUCUCAACAUUAGAUAACAACUCACAGCUUUUUGUACUCUCAGACCCACUUCUUUUCUCUUCUAAAGAGAAAUGCAAUUCUCUCACUCAGUUGAAGCAAAUCCAAGCCCAAAUGAUUGGUUUGAUCACUGAAGGGCUCGCACAGUAUCAGAGUCUAGAAAGGCUUGAUUACUGCACCAUAAUUUUGUGUAAUGCACAAAAGCGAAUUGCUUUUUCUUGGAAUGUAGCAACUAGAGGGUAUUUAGGAGUGAAAACCCUAGGGAAGCCGUAGGUUUGUAUAAAAGGAUGUCGAGGAGGAAAAAUGUUAGGCGUGAUAAUUAUACGCAGCCCUUUGGUAUUUAGAGUUUGUGCGUGCUUAUUGUUGACAUGUAUGAGUUGUUUCGGAUUGUCGGGCAUGUAAUGCAGUUGGGUUUUGAUAAUUAUCAUUUUGUGCACAAUGCAUUGAUACACAUUUUUGGUUUCUACAGGAAAUUGGUAUCAGCACAUAAGGUGUUUGAUGAAGGUUAUGUAAGAGACUUGGUCUCUUGGAAUUCAUUGAUAGAAAUUGGAAGGCAAUGGAAGCAAUAAGGAAUUACGAAGAAAUUAUGAAAGAGCAAAUAAAGUCUGAUGAGGAGACAACGAUCGGUGUCAUAUCAUCGUGUGAACGAUUGGAGGAAUUGAAACUUGGGAGGGAAUUUAAUGACAUAUUGAAGAAAUUGAAUUGACCACGUGUCAAACUUACUUAAUAUAUAAAGUGUUGGGAACUAAUCUCGAGGCAGCGGGACUACGAUGGUUGUUGUAUACGAGUAUGGGCUUUUAUAUACAUCGAGGAAGUUGUUGCAUGCAAUGGCGGAGAAAGUUUGUUACAUGGAAUGCCACCUUUGGAAGUCAUGCGAAGGUCAAGCAUAGCAAGGAGUCAUUGGCUUUGUCCAAUAGUAAUAUUAAUCCUGAUGAGGUGACUAUGUACAUGAAAUCGGAAUAUGGAUUCAACAUUAUAUAAAAAAGUACAUUCUUUCUGAAGAUAUUAUUUUAGGUAUUGCUUUGAUUGACAUGUAUGCAAAAUAUGGAAAUGUUCAAAAGGCUCCUCAAUUUUUUUCAUGAAAUGCCAAGGAAAAGCUCGCUGACAUGGGAAUGCACAUGUGCCAUAUUUACUUCUCCAAGAUGAUUGAUAUUGGGCUGAUUCCAGAUGAGAUCACGUAUUUCGAAGUACUAUCAGCUUCUUGUCAUGUGGGCUUGGUUGAAGAGGGCCGCAAAUUUUUUUUCUCACAGAUGAAUUCUAAAUUUAAUGUGUUACUCAGCUUAGACACUACUCUUGCAUGGUGUAGGGCUGGUUUUUGUUGAAGCACGCUAAACAGCUGAUUAAAAGCAUGCCAACAGAGACAGAUGCUGUGGGCAGGGUGCAUUGUUGAUCCAUGAAAUACCUUUGCUGGGGAAAGAGCAGCUUGAAAGCUUCUUGAGUUGGAUCCCAUUAUAGUGAAAUACAUAUUUUGCCUGCAAACAUAUACAAGGAAGCCAACAUGUUGGAGGAGGCUGUGAGUGUGAGUAGAAUGACGGGAAUGAUGAGGGAAAGAGGAGAGAAUUAGAUUCCUGGUUUUAGGUUAAUUGAGGUGAACAACAUUGUUUUAAGGAAAGAUUGCAUCCUCAAUCAAUUCAAAUAUCUGAAUGUUUAAUGCAGUUAACACGACAGUUGAAGUUUGUUGAAUGUAUUUCUGGUGUUCCAGGCUAUGGAAAUGAUUUCCUCUCAGGCUUUGAAGUUGAAACCCUUUCUGUUAGAUACUUAUGACAUAUGGAAAUUAUUGAUAGAACUGUUUCCCAUGGCGUUAUUAAUUAUAUUGAGUUGGUUAUAUUUGUUUUGAAGCCAUAAUGGGAAAGCCUCGCCAUCUUUUCUCAAGGUUAAAGAUUUUGCUUUAGGUCCAAAAUGCCUGCCAUGAAGAGAUGAUGUGAGUUUGGGUCCAAAGCCUGAUGAGAUCCUACAAGAGACUGGUAUGUGAGUGGAAGAUCAAUAUGCAAAAGGAGGUUUGCCAUUGUGCCAGAGGAACAGAACAGGCUAAUGCCAAGUUGUUACUUCCCCAAUCAGAUAUGUUUUCCUAUACUAUCCGAUAAACAUAAGAAAGAACUUCUCUAUCCUUUUCUAAUUUCUAUAUGAUGUAUUCUCAUUACUCAUCAGUCUAAAUUUUUCCUCAACCGUAAUCAUCUUCUGAAGUGAGCACACAGGAAACUGUUUUAUGUCGAUUCAGAUCAGGAAAAUAAUAGAUGCUGGACAUCCUAAAUUCUAAUUAUAGCUGGCCCAUGUUAUAGGUAAACAAAUCAAUUUUCUGCUGAGACUUUGGCAUAUCACUGCAAUAGAACUUGCUUAUACACUAUAUUUUUCUGAUUUACUUCCUUAUAGAUUAUGCUGCAAUUAUGCUUCAGAUAGCGCAAUGGAACUUUAGCAUUGUUAUGUUUCUGAAGUAGUUUAAGCUCUGAAGCCCAGAGAAAUUGAUGGUAAUAUCUCACCAUCAUGCAAAACUGAAUAGCUUGAUCUCAAAAUGAGAGUGGGUUAUAUAAGAUAGGCUUCAUGGUUUGCAGAUACCAUUGACUAUACUGAAAAGAUACCAAGAAGGUCUGAACUUAUGACAUGAUGUCCAUAGCAUAGAAUUCCUAUAAGAGAGGAGCAGUAUGUUGGGAUGGGAUGAUUAAACUUGUCCUAAUGAUGUAAGAAGUAAUGAUUACUGUAACCAUCAAAGCAAUGAGUGUCGUGGUUAAAAACUGUCUCUUAAAGGUGUUGACAAUCAUUGCAAGAGAAAAAUGGGAAGGGGGUGGGGGUGGGGGCUAUGGGAAUGUGUUUAUAGAAUACAUAUUUACUUGACCAGUUGACCUGUCUCCCAAAUGUGCAACUGUUAAGUCCUGAAUCAUUUCAUUUGGAUGGAUGAAUUGAAGAACAAAGGUUGUGCAUUCAAAAAUCAAAAUCUUUUUCUUUUUUUAUGUAAGUAGGAGAGGAAAAUAAAAAGCUCUGUUUUGUUCAGGGGUUGACAAUAAGUUGGUUCUAGAUCAAAUUUUAAAAUUUGCUGAGUUUAGAUUUAAUCUCAUUUGCUACGAAAUGGAAAGUGGAAACAGAGUUGCACUUUUAAUGAAUGUGUUUUAAGUGAGAAAAGGGAAGGAGGGAGGGAAGGGAAUAUAUGGAUAGGUCAUUGCUUGCACGCUAGGUUAUGUUCAUUUCAUUCCUGUUUCUUUGUCUUCUUUCUUUUCCUCCCACAUGCCUGACAGCCUUCUUUUCGGCUCUCUAGUCAGGCCACUGAUUACCCUGCUGUGCAUAUGGGCCAUGGCACUGGCCAAUUUCUAACUCAAGAAUCAAGAUCACCCCAUGAAAAUUGAUUGGACAACAUAACUAUAUCGGGAUGCACAAACACCUUUUCCUGUCCUUCUCCCGCCUGCUUUGCAUCUUCUAAGACGUGUCCAGUUGCCAUGACUCAUCAGGCUCACAGGAGAUUGCAAUUUUCCCCUUUUUGUUAUUUUCCGUAUCAAGAACAAGAACUAGGAAAAGAGAAAAAAAUAAAAAACAACAAUCAAUAACCGACCGGUCCAAAAGCUAUUAUACUUCAUGCAAUGCAACUGCUAGCUUUGAACUUUUUAACCCACAAUUAUUUAUUUAUUUAUUUAUCAUCAAACAUCUCAAAACUAUAGGCUAGAUUGAGUUGCGCACUACAUUGUGGCAAUUAUGGUUUCAUUAUACUUUCAUCGUUGUUGGAAACUGAACAUAGUGCCUGAACCACCCACCCAAGUAACAUAUGUUGACAAGACAAAUUAGGUUUUGUAAUUUGGUUUCAUGGAUGACCAAAUUGAGGAAAAUAAAGGAUUGUGGGGAGAGAUUCCAUGGUGGCAUUGGCAUAGCACAAGGUGGUGGACCUAAUGAGGGCAUUUCGGAAUAAUUGCCUUGAGAACCUUAACCAACAAGCACAUGAGAAUUCCUUUUUGGGCCCACAACAAUCCAAAAACAUACAAACCCAACUGCUAAAAAAGAAAAAAUAUUUCUUUUGCUGUUUUUUUUUUUUUUUUUCCAUUGCAUUCUUUCAAGUUAUAAAAACUUUAGCACCCAAAAUUUGACUUCUUGAGAAUUAUGUGCUCGAACAACUUCGAGUAAUCUUUUGCUUUAAACAGUGGUGGUGACCCAUUGGUUAUAAAAAAUUAUGAUUUAAGUAUGGAUUAUGAGUACAGCUAAAACAAAAACCUUUUACUUUUAUCAUAUUCUUUAAUGAAUGUGAGCUUUGCAGAUUGAUACCUAACCAACCAACUUAACUUAACUGAUACCAACUUAGCCUUAGAGAGAGAUCAGAUGGCUUUUGGUGAUCUCCUCUUUAACCAUAUUAUCACAUGGGUCCAUUUUAUAUGCACAAUCCAACUACUCGCUGCAACCCCAACCAUAAACGGCAGGAGUUAGGAAUUCCUUCUACCGCCUGCAAUUUUUUCUUUCUUUCUUUCUUUGGCGGAUUGCGAUUAGGGUUGAAUUUUCAUAAUUAUCCCUUUUUGAUUGUUUGAUAGGCACUGGUAGGUUAGAUCACUAGAUUUCGGCAAUACAAUUAACGAAAAAAUAAAUCCAGCGGUUGUAUUAUAUUACAGAAUUAUUUGAAUCAUCCAUUUAAUUUAAAAGGCUGAAUUUAUCCAAAAUAAAUAUUGGCAUAAAGUAGAUAUAUAUUAGAUAGUCAAGUCACAUUAAAAAUUUUCUACUCCAACGCACAUGCAUUAUUUUGUUCACACACACAAGCGUCAACGUGUACAGAGAAGAGGAAAAUAGGAGAGUGACAAAGCCUUCAGUCAAAAGAACUGAAGAAGAAGAAGAAGAAGAAGAGUAUGUAUGGUGAAGUGUGAUGGAGCUUUAAUGUCGGUUUGUUACUUUGUUUAGCCCAAAGAAUCCCAUCUCUUUCUUUUAUUAUUUAUUUUUUAUAAACAUCUCAUUCUUUUAUUCUUUUCUUUAUAAUCAUUAUCUCUCUUGAUCCACUCAUUUCACCUCUCUCUCUCUCUCUCUCUUCUUCUCUUUCUCUUUCUCUUUCUCGCUCUCAUUUUCUCCGAGAAAAUUUCGCUUCCGAUUCACGCGAUACCACAUUUUCUCUCUUUAAUUUCACAUUUUUAUUCUUAAUGUUCUAAUCUGGUGGUCUAAACUCUUCAGGUUAGCUCAUUCGGAUAUCAAAUUUUUACUGUUUGAUCAUUCAAUAUAGAGAUCAAAAUCAUGUAGUGCUACGCUUUCUUUCUGGUUUUUGUUUUCUAGUUUCUAUAUGUAGCUCUGCUUGUUAUUUUUCUUCUCUCUCUUUCUUAACCAAAAAGUUGAUAUCAGUUUGAAGAUCAAAAUUGUGCAAUGAAAAAUUUAACUUAGAAUGAAGAGCGAUUAUGAAGUCUGAUAUUUGUGAUCGUAGCUUUCUGGAGAUAAAACUGUUUAACGAGGCAAUUGAGUGUUUUUGCUUUUGUUGUUGUGUUUGGCAAUAAAGAAGAUUAAUGGAAUUUUGUCUAUUUAUUUAGUUCUCUUUGUGUUUUUGUGUCCGUAAAUGCUGUUGAGUUUUAGUGAUUUAAGAAACUUCAGUAAUUGUUUACUGUUGAGUUGUUUUUAUGUGUUUCAGUGUGGAACUGUUGUUGCCUGAUUUAAUUAUCGAGCUUUUCUACAUUCCUCUUUUUUCUUUUUUUGGCGGGAGACAUUCUUCUGUUUGUGCUGAAUGGAUUUUAAGUCUAAAUGUUAGAGAGUAGGUUGCCAUUUACCUUUUUCUUUUUUCGUUGAACGAUUUCUUGACAUUUUGGUGCUUCCUUGUACGACAAAUUAGUGAUUUGAGAUGAGUUGGAACUCGAAUAUGGAGGUUCAUUACACGAGCACUAGCUAUCCUUAUAACUCUGCCGGAAGCUUCAUGGAGUAUUUCGAAGGCCUUACAUAUGAACAUGUGAAUUUCAUUUUUGAUGGUGCUUCCCAUGUUGAGGUACCUUAUAUUUCCACAAUGGAUAGAGGUUGAAUUAUUGGUUCUACUUUUCACAUUGAGCAAGUAUAGGAAACCACUUACAGAAAAUUCCUAUUUGAGUUGUGUGCACAGAAAUAUCAUUGUUGAGACAGCAUUAUUUUUCUAGUGCAAUUGAAUAUUGCAUCUUUUGUCUUCAGGAAAGUGUAUACCCGUCCAUAAAUGCAAAUUUCUAUAAGUUUGGCAUGUCUCAACCUGGGAGUGGUUCAUACUAUGAUCAUAGUCAUGCUUAUGAGGUCCAUGAUCACAGACCGCAAAUCAAUGACUACAGAAGGCCCCUAGAGAAUUCUUCAACAAUGGUUAACUCACCGGCUGCUGCAGUUAAUGCCGAAUGGGAAGGAAAUGAAAAUCCGAGUACUCAAACUGAUCCUGUCGAAUGUAAGUUCUGAGUUGUAUUUUUGCUUUAUCUUUCCUAAUAAUGUCUAUAAGUCCUCCUUGGGGAAUGAUAGCUUAUAUAACCUUCUAUGGAUGGGUGGAGAGUGGAGAGGGAAGAGAUAGAGGGAGAGAGGAAGGGAAGUGAGAGGGAGCUAAUCUCUUGAAGGGGCAACACGAUCCUGCUGCCUCAGCAUUGUUUUUCUUCUCUUAUCAAUCUAGUUGUUUACUGGAGCCACCCCUCUAUCUUUGUUGACUCUCUGCAAUUUAUGUCUUUCGUUAUUGUUGUUCCAUUCUAUUUAGGAGCUGAAUGGCUGAGCCUUGAAAUACCACUUAGAAUAUAUUCCAUCUCAACCCCUGGCAUUUGUAACUUUGUUUUGCCAAUAGCAACAUAUAUAUCCUGUUUGGAUUCAGUGUAGUGAUCUCAUCAUACGCGGAGAACAGUUUAGGAGUAUCUAGGGAUAGCAUGGUUUUGUCUAUUACUUUUUAUUUCAGUUGCACUUGGUGUUGGAGCUUAGUUCAAUUGAAUAAUUCUAUUUGCUGAUCUCUUGUAUCUCAUUCACUUAAGAUUUGAGCAACUUUUCCCUGCUUCUAACAUCUUCCCUUACUUUCUAGGUCCUCGGAGACAUCUUAAUGCUCCAGAUAUCCAGGUUUGUUACUGUUAGCUUCACAGGGUUCCUUUUAUACCUGAUAUAUUUUUAUGUGGAAGAUUUACCUGCACCAUACCAUUAGUAGGUGCCAACUCGUUAAGAAAUCCUUAAAGUGGCUAUUGCUUUUAUUAAUUUAAAGCUAGAAGUUAAUACGAAAACUGCAACUUUAGUUAUAUGGUUCCUUUCUUUUGGCUUUGUGCAUUGCACUUUUGGUGUGUAUGUUUCUAUAGACAUAGACACAACUUUCCCUCCAUAUUCCAUGUUGAGUCUCUUUAUUUUUUUUUCUCUUUAAUUUUAAAAAGAUAUAACAAAUGUAAAAGAGUAGUGAUCAGAAUGCAGUGCCUUUUAGAUUGAGGAAAAGAGAAACAGUCAACUAACAAUAUAGAUUUUGCUUUCUUGCCCAUCAAAUAAAUGUUUGUUAUGGUUAUAGACAAAUUAAUAUACUCCUUAUCUGUGAACUCUGCAGGUCAUUUGGCAAGACAAUGUUGAUCCUGACAAUAUGAGUUAUGAGGUUAGAGCAUAGAUCUCUAUUAAAAGGGGUUAGAGAACGUGCAUUUCAGUAUAUGAAACUGCAUGUUUUUUUUUAAAUCUUUCUUCCAUGAUUAUGGUAAUAACAUUAGUGUUUGGUCCUAUGAUGGACCAUUAUUUCUUGCGUUAAAAGGGGUUAAAACACAUCCACUAUGAGGUUCAUAGAGUCCCCAUUUGUGGAGUGGAGUUUUUUCUACAUUUUAACUUGCAAAAAGUAUUCCAGUUCGUUGUUUUGUACAUAAAGUUCCAACCAGAUGCUGCUCCAAAAGAGCAUAAUCCAGCUGCAGGAGAAGGUAAAAGAUGAUGUUUCUAAUUUAGAAAUAUCUGAGCUAUCUAACUGAGUACAGAUUCUAUAUGCUGCCUCUUGGGGCUUGUCUAGGUUUCCUUUGGCUUUUGUCAUCUUCUUAAGGAGGCUUAAAUUCCUUUAUAUAGUUUGAUGUUGAUCAGUUGACAUGCACUUUUGAUUGAAGUUACUUUGGAUAAUUAUAUUUACUCUUUGAAAAAUCUUUCCGGUUCAGGAAUUACUAGAAUUAGGUGAGGCGGUUGGAAUGCAAAGUCGUGGUCUUUCCCAAGAACAAAUUGCUAUGCUUCCAGUCUCAAAGUACAAGUGCAGCUUCUUCUCAAGAAGGAAAUCAAGAAGUGAAAGGUACUAUCUGGGCUUAUAUACAUCAUGUGUGUUGAUCAAGUCUUCAUCUUGCAUGUGGUACACUGAUUGCUAUUUUUUCUAUACUUCUCACGUAAAUCUUUCAUGGUGAUGUGGAUUAAGCAUUCAGAUUAUAACAUUGAAACUGGAUAUUUGUUUUAGCUUUUGGUUUUAUGGGACUCUGCUCAGUAUACUACCUGGUGUGCACUUUCAGACUUCCGACAGUCUUUAACUUAGAUAUGUAAAAUAUCAUUCAUCGCAUGUAGAGUUCAUCCAGCUUUUAUAUCAAAUUGCGCCUCUAGAUUUUUGUUAGUACUCAUUGAUUGACGCAAUGGAUCAGAUAACUAAGGGAUUAUGGAGAAAAGCAUAAAAGGUAAACUAGAUAUGGACAAUUGAUGCCACAAAUAAUCAAGCCUUGAUAUUUCUAAAUUUUAUAGUCAUUAAGGAAAAAUAUUCAAUAUUGACAAUUCACAACCCCCAUUUUGAGAUAAAAAAAAAUUGUAUUCCUAUCUAAUUUUCAUGGAGUAUUUUACAUCAUUGUCCUGUUGCCUACCCUUUCUCCUUUUGUUAUAGGUGUGUAAUUUGCCAAAUGGAAUAUAAGCGAGGUGACCGGCGGAUUAUACUGCCUUGCAAACAUGGCUAUCAUGUUGGUUGUGGGACUAGAUGGCUUAGCAUCAAUAAGGUGAGCCGUUCAUUUUUACUAGGCAUUUCGUACAUGCAUUACACAUGAUGCAUUAAUUUUUAAUUCGUUAAUACAUUUAUUCUAUAUUACCGAAAAUAUAAAUUAACUAUCCAAUGUUACUUUUUGCAUUUUUGCUUUUUUAAUAAUAUUGUUUUACAAAUGUUCAAAAAAAAAUAAUAUUAUACACAUUCUUUUGUAUAUCUCUAUGUCUUUUCAUCCUUAUAUGAUUUUAUAAAUACUAAUUAACACAUUAGGGCUAUUUUAUAAUAAUUAAAAAAAUCAUUGACAAUUAUGAACUUUUAUUGUAUAAUAAAUAUGAUAAUAUUAAUAAUUAUUUUUUAAAGAAAGCUGAGCAACAAUAAACAUUCAAGUCUCAUUAAAUUAUUAAGUUGCAAAAGGUUAAUGAAGAAAAUAUAAGCAUAGGAAUCUUAACUAUUCAAAAGCUACAAUAUAUAGAUCAACUAACAAUUUAAAAAAUUAAAUUAACGAAAAAAUUAUAUAUAGAAAGGGAAUCUUAUCUGAUUAAUUCUUCAAAAGAUUUUAACAUACUUUAUAGUUGAAUUAUUGGUAAACUUUGGAUUGUAAUUUGCAAGGUAACAUAUCCUAAGUUUGGUUAUUAUAAGAUAAAUGGUAUUAGGUUUUCCUUUAGUAUAUAUGAGGAUUAUCAACUUAAGUUUUUUGUAAUUUGUAUUUAGAAAGUUACUUCUUAAGUUUUAACAAUUCUUAUGGAUUAGAAACAGGCAUUUUUGUAAACAACAAAAAACUUGAAGGAUAUUCUUUAUUCAUGCAUAUGUCCUUAUUCAAUUACAAGUCCUUCUGAUUGAAAAAUAAAGUAGUGAAGUAUUUUAGUACAUAAUCAAAAUUAUUAAGGACAUCCUUUUUAUAUAUAGUUUAGAUAAAAUGAAGGGAGAACCCAGUCAUGCUCGUUUUCUUUGACCAAGUCUUGAGAAACCUGACUCUGUUUUUGUUAUCAGGCCUGCCCCAUAUGUUACGUGGAUGUCUUUGGUGAUGCAUCAAAAUGUUAGGAAAUAAUCACUGGUGGACAUAUAGAAGAAGAUUGUCAACUCGUUUUUUUUUUUUUUUUUUUUUUUUCUAUCGUUUGGGUUUUGGGUAAUUUCCCCUGCACAAAUAGUUGUUUGCUUCAGCUUUUCCAUUUUCUGGUGUAGAAAACUAGGUUUUGCAAUAAACAAGCUAUAAACUUUAUGCAAGGUUGAUUUGUCUGAAUCCAGAUACUUGUAUCAACUUUAUAAUUGGUCUAUAUUUCACGGUUCUCUUCAGAAGGAGUUAGUGACGCUUGAGUUUGUUCUGUCAUGGAACUUGGCUGAUGAAAUCAUCUGUAAUGGUUGUGAAUUCUGAAAUUAUGGGUUCGAACAUAUUUUGAUGAGUUGGCGCCCUAGCUGGUCAGAAUAAGCGAGAAUAGUUCGUGUUUAGUUUUGGUGGUAGACAAAAAUUAGUAUCGGCAGGACAGAAAGGCCUAACUAAUUGUCCGUUAAGCAAACAAAACGCAGUAUAUACUAGGAUUGGUCUUCGUUGUUGUAGUAGAUAGAGGUGGCAAAGAUGAAGGGUCCGCUUCAUCAUAAUGUCUUUGGUAGGUGGCAAGUUGAACUCUUAGUUCCUUUCUCUGCGGGAUAAACUUGGGGGCGAAACGGGCCUAAUUGUAACCAUCUUCGUGCUUUAAGAAAAGGAAAAAAAUAAAAUAAGAAACACAAAUCAAAGACGUGGCUGCCUGGUGCAAUUUAUUAUUUGUAAAAUAAAUAAAUAGAAUAUCAAUAAUACCCCAGUUUUUCAAGCAAUUUAUUAUUUGUAAUACAUGAAUAAGAAGAUUGGUAAACUGGAUAAAAACCAGCAAGACAAUUGGCUUACGCCAAAAUGACCUUACAAAGAAAAGAAGAGUAUAUAUAUUAAAUAAUUAUAAUAAGCUACUGUGUAUUGCUUUGCAGAACUGUGUUAGCGUUGAACUGUUCAUUUUUAAUUUUCUUAGGUCUUAAAGCAUAGUUUUCUAUUACACGCUUGGCUGCUAACAGAUUAUAAAAGGAUAAUUGAGAUAAAAUUCUCUCUCCUAUUUUCCACUGGGUAACCUUAUAUAUAUAUCAUUGAGAGCAGCAAUUGAUUCAAUUUGUAUGUGGCUAUAUAUCGUUUGUUAUGUUUAAUUGGUUAGUUGUGAAUCCUUUCUCAUUCUGAGGGAUCUUUGAUUUCUUACAACUUAAAGUUCGAUGGUUGGCUUAUCUGACUAGUGCAUGGACUUGUAGUAAUGCUUAUUUGCGAUGAAAUUGUAAUUUUAUGAAUUUGAACAAAAGGAAAAAAAACAAAAAAAAAAACAAAGGACAAAUAUAUAGUUUAUUGAGCAUGAUGCUUAAUGAAGUCAUACAAGAAGAACAUAAUUACGCAAACUUUCCCUUAUAAUAUGGUAUCAAUAAUUUAGAGAAUUGAGUAUCAGUAACAUUUUAUUUUGAUGACAUUUUGUAUGAUAAUCCAUGUUUAUUCAUGAUUUUUCGGCUUGGAAGAAAAUCCUACAUGAGUAUAUCGCUAUCUGCAAUCACAAAAAAAGUCAAGUGAGGAAUUUUAUGCAUACCAAUGCUAAUAUAUAAUAGACUAAAUAAAAUAAACACAUUCUUUAAUUUAAUAUAGUAUUGAAGUAGGAAAAUAUUACUUCUUACCUUUUUUCUUGAUAAAAAUAUUUAAGAAUAUAUUAGGCAUUUGGUGGAGGCGGUGUUCUGAUAGGGAAUGGAAAUGGAAAAGGAAAAGGAAAUGGCCAAAAUCUAGGAGGUGGAGGCGGGGGAUUGCGAGGUGGAGGAGGUGGCAGUGUGCGAGGUGGAGGUGGAGGUGGAGGAUUGCGAGGUGGUGGUGAUACUGGAGAUUUUGGAGGUAAUGUAGGAGAUCUAGGUGGAAGUGAUUGUGGUGGUGAUACUAGAGAUUUUGGAGGUAAUGUAGGAGAUCUAGGUGGGAGCGAUUGUGGUGGUGAUACUGGAGAUUUUGGAGGAAACAUGGGUGAAGAUCUUGGCGGCAAUGUAGGAGAUCUAGGUGGGAGCGACUGUGGUGGUGAUACUGGAGAUUUUGGAGGUGGUGACGAUGGGGAUUUAGGAGGAAACGUGGGUGGAGAUCUUGGGGGCAAUGUAGAAGAUCUAGGUGGGAGCGACUGUGGUGGUGAUACUGGAGAUUUUGAAGGUGGUGACGAUGGGGAUUUAGGAGGAAACGUGGGUGAAGAUCUUGGCGGCGAUGUAGGAGAUCUGUGUGGUGGUGAUACUGGAGAUUUUGGAGGUGGUGACGAUGGGGAUUUAGGAGGAAACGUGGGUGGAGACCUUGGCGGCGAUGUAGGAGAUCUAGGUGGGAGCGACUGUGGUGGUGAUACUGGAGAUUUUGGAGGUGGUGACGAUGGGGAUUUAGGUGGAAAU
This 86913-nucleotide long non-coding RNA is filed under the name Ricinus communis (castor bean). RNAcentral describes it as "long non-coding RNA (RCOM_LNC000349)". The record is from RNAcentral. Lineage: Eukaryota; Viridiplantae; Streptophyta; Magnoliopsida; Malpighiales; Euphorbiaceae.